UUCUGUUUCUUAUAUAUUAUUUUAUAAAUUUUUAAAUAAAAAAAUUAAAUUUUUAAAUAAAAGAAUUUACUAUGCACUCUUUUUUCUUCUCAUUAUAUUGUUAAAGAGGUACAAAUUAAAUACUAUUGUUGAAGAUGAUACCGGUUCUGCAAAUUUUACCAUCUUUGGAAGAUUGGUGCAAGAUUUGAUUCAUAUUCCGGUUCAAACCUUGCUACUUCAGUUGGUUCAGAUAAAUUUACUCUUCCUCCUACAAUUAAAAUAAUUUUUGGACAUGAACAUAUUUUUCAAAUUGUGACACCCCAAUAGUCCCACAUCGGAUGGGAAAGGGGUUGUCAUUGGGUUUAUAUGAGACUUAGACACUAGUAAUAAUAAAAAUCGGGCUUAAGCAUUUUGGGCCGGUGGUUGGGCCCAACGAAUUAUUGUUGCUAAUGGGCUGGGUUGUUACAUUUGGUAUCAGAGCCGGUUCACCAGCUGGACAUGUGUGGCGAGUCUCGGCUGAGCCAGGGUUUGGAUGACGGGCUAGCGAGACGAGUCUCACAUAGCCUGGUGAUCUUGGGCUGUGUGUGAUUGGACUGACGAGGACGUCAGGGCCUUAACGGGGGGAGUCUGUGACACCCCAAUAGUCCCACAUCGGAUGGAAAAGGGGUUGUCAUUGGGUUUAUAUGAGACUUAGACACUAGUAAUAAUAAAAAUCGGGCUUAAGCAUUUUGGGCCGGUGGUUGGGCCCAACGAAUUAUUGUUGCUAGUGGGCUGGGUUGUUACAUUGACCCCGGGGCGUGACACAAAUAGUACCUGACGUACAGAGGUUCAGAACAAGUGUUCCUUCUUUUAAAGUUGUCAAAAUUUUUAAUAUUCAAUACGAUAUAAAGGAGUAUACUUCUUCAGCUAAAAAUUUAUUAAUCAAAUAUGAAGAAAAAGCUGAUUCGCCUACUACUCAAAAGGAAAUACACAAAGAAUUAUUUGAGGAAGCAUCCCCAAGUACAACUAUUUUGUCAAGAUAAUAUUUUCAUAUUUAUUUUCAUGUUUGAUUUAUAUUAUUAUAUGUGUUUGUAUGUGUGUUUGUGUGUUUUUUAAACCAACAGAGAUAUAUAGUUUUACCAACAGCUUUCCUCAAUUUGCCGAUGAUAUAAAGGAAACUCAACCUGCCAAAAAAAAAAAGACUUAUGUAAGUUAGAAUAUACUUCAUUUCUUCCAUCAAAUAUAUAUUAUUUAUAGCUAAGAUUAUGUUAAAGUUACUUUUGUAUUGUUUUCUAUAUUUUGAUUUGCAGUUUCAAUAAAGGUCCUCCCACAAAUGAAGCCGGCUAUGAAGAUUUAAAAUUUAUACUGCAUUUAUAUUAUAUGUUUUAUUGUACUGUUAAUUUAUUGUAUUUUCCUAAAAGUUACGCUUACUACUACUGCGUACUUAUUAUAUGUUUUACGACAAACAAUAUAGAUAUAUGUUUUACUAUAUGUUUUAUGGCUCUCCGGAUCUAUACAUUACUAUAUAUUUAUCAACAAUUUGCAGCGAAGCAUGGGGUUUUCACUAGUGUAUAGCUAAUUUAGGGUCAUAAAUAUGUAGAUCAUGUUCUUUGACAUCUUGUGUAGUGUUAUUUUAGCACUCAGUAGCAUCCUAUUUAAAAGUCUGAGGACCAAAAUAAAUAUUAGUGAAAAGUUUAGGGACUGAAGUGGAAUUUACUCUCCCGAAAUGAUAGACCCUCUUCCCAAGUACUCGCCCCCAGCCCCACGCUUUUCCCCCGUUGCGGAAACCCGAAGAAAAACAGGGGGAGCACCAAAUCCCGACCCCAAUCCCUCAAUCCGAUCCCCUCACCUCUUCUCGACGCGGGGUUGGUCGCAUCGGCGGCGGCGAUGCCAUGAAGGUGGCGGCAGCGGCGGCGGAGGCGGUGGCGGAAUGGCGAGGGGAGUGGUAGAAUGGGGGUGAAGAGGAGCGAAGUGGUGCUUCUAUAGGAGGAUCACCAUUACGGUGUGCUCCGUGAACCUCUUCGUCGCGCUCUCUUCGUCCUACUACGCUCGCUUUACUCCUCCCUCUACGUUGGCGAUCCCUUUCCAGGUUAAAGAAGAGAAGAGCGAAUCUUAUUUGUUCUCCUCUUUUUUCUGAUAUAUGGAUAAAACCUUUUGGCUACAGAUCUUCUUAUUUACCUUUCCAUGUAAUAAUACAUGCAGAAAAAUGUGAACAGUCGUAACCAGAGCAGUAAAAACUGAACCCAGAUUACAUGUUACAGCAAGUGAUAGCAUUUCCAGACACAAUUUAACUCACUACUGAGAUAUUUUGGAUUGCACAAUAGCCAAAUUCCACAGUUAACCAGAGGUGCCAUCUUAAGAGUUUAGUUACAAACCGUCAUAUACCGUCCGAAGUAAAGUAUUGAUGAAAAUAUAUAAAGAGAAAUGUCAAGAGGGUGGCAUAAUUUCAGCUAUCUGGAUAGUCAGAGCAGUAUUGUACAAUGAAAUGAAUACUCACGUUCAAAACAAAAAGGCAACAUCACAACCAUGUAGAUUUGACAUGCGUUAGAUUUCAAUAUAGAGUCAAAACAGGAAUGAUGAAUGACAGAAAAUACCUCCCCGUUGUCUAUUCUUCUAAGUAGAUCUUUGAUGUCAUCCUUUACACUUUCAACCUACACAGAAGAAUAGACAUUGAAAAUAAUGUUGGUAAAAAUGAUAUAACCACAGUUCAAACCCAUCAAGCCAUAAUGACCUAUAGAUACACCAGUAUUCAAACCCGGAAAAAAAAGAAAAAUUCUACAUCAAGGGAAACAAGCAGAGUACAAAAUUAAAGUACAAUAUUCAAAUCUUUAAUGGAGAUAUCUCAGAUAUGGCCCCCAUAAAAAAGGAAAAUUCUACAUCAAGGAAAACAAGCAUAUGACUGCUUGACUACUCAAAUUGAUAUUCAAACAUCACCAAAAAGUAGAGAACUAAAUUUUCACAAGGUCAAAGAUAUUUUGAUACAUAUGGUAAUACACAUUUUGACACAUAUUUUUAUACUCUUACACACAAUGGAAAUGUGCAUCAUUCAUUGUUUCUUUUCUUAACAAGCUUGUGUUUGUACUGUUUCUUUCGGAUGUGCACCAUUCACUAUUUCUUUUAGAAGGUUUUAAAGUGCGUAGGCUUGUUAUCUAAUGAAAAUAAGUAGAACACAUAUGGGACGUACAGAAGCAAAUACAUUGAUGUGGUAUAAAACCCAACAAUUACAUAUGGGAAGUAGAGAGAAAAUACAUUACCUUUCUAGUAAUUUGCUCUUUAUCGAAAUUCAUCCAUCUAUUUUUCGCUGCCAACUUGGUCCCUACAUCAAAAAUAUCAGCACCCAACUUCUCUUGGGCCAAAGUAAAACCAAUUCAAAUCGAUCUUUUGCAAUAUUCGAUCAACAAUCACAUACAUUGCGAAGAUAGAUUAAUAAUCCCUCACCCUAAGAGCCGCCUUGGAGAUGCCCUCGGGAGGUGUAGCCAAGAAGAAUUGCACCUCCGGUGACCCAUUCACGACAUACGAUUUCCCCUUCUUGGUGAGCACCCAGUUAUCCCUUGUUAUCUCCUGCGGAAAAUUUCCCAAAAAUGCUUGGAUCUUGGAGCGGAAUUUGGAUUCUAGUUAGGGUUUUAUAGGAAGACAGUGCGGGGGGUGGGGGGAGGGCUAAGGUUUUAGACCUUGGCGUUGACGAUCUCGAAGCCCUUGAGACUUUUGAUGAGGUUCUCAAGGUCGGUGUGGGUGACACCGAGGGAGGCGGCAAAGUCGUAGGAGUCGGAGAUCUCGUCGUGGGUUUGAAGAAACACUAGGAGGGCUGCGUCCUCCGCCAUUGUUGUGGGUGUGUUGGUGGUGUUCGACCACAACGUCCUCGUUCUCCUCCGUUGGAAGAGAAGGAACAACGGCGUUUGUUGAGAACGCUUACGAAGGCUUCUGUGCCAAGCAUGUGCGACGAGGAGGGGGGGGGUGUUUGUAACGGGCGGAUGUGAUUUAGUCGAGGGAUCCAACGGCCGAGAAGUGCCACUCACGAAUGAGAGAAGGAAAUGGAGAUCGAUUGUCCGAUGUCUCUCAUGUGUACACUGUUCCAAAUCGUCAAAAACUGUACAUGGCCGGUUCGCACUCGCCAUAGAACAAUAAAUAGUUUUGAUUAGACAGUUAGAUGAGUCAACGAUGCAAACACAUCGGGUUGGUGGAGCUCCGCUCUGAUCAACUCUGCGAUAGGCGGGGCAAAAAUUAAAAAAAAAAAUCAAUUCAGACCCACUAAAAGGUUAGAGCGAGAGGCGAAAAAGCCAUUCCUAAAAUAGUAUAAAAGUCAAUCCAUUCCGCCGUUACCUAUCAAAGAAAUGGUGUAGGAGGUGGGGGAUCCCUCCUGCUCCUAUGUUCGUCUCGUUCGUGUUGCUACAUGAGUCUUAUGCAUGGUAGAAGUAUUAUAUUAAAUUUAUUUUGGGAUUGUUGACCACUUGUGUCAUAUGCGAUGAGAAAGUAUAUUUUUAAAAAAUAUAAUUUUUUUCUAUAUAUCACAAUGAGUGAAAAAAGAAAUAAAUAUAUUUUUCUACAUUUUUUACCUCAAUUUUAUUUUUAAUUUUUUUUAAAAAUAAAAAUGAUACUUUUAAAUUAGACCUUUGUUUCCUAACUCGUACAAUUCGGUUUGACUGUAACGUUAGGUCAGCUUUCAAUGCCAAAUAAAAAGGCCCUUAACCCCAAAGGAACCCAGAAUCCUACCUGGUAACACGCGGUCGGGUUACGAAGGGUCCCCUCCACUCUUCGACUACGAGCGUUUACGUUCGAACCACUCCCUCACUGAUGGCGUGCUCACCUUCUCUGCGACCCCGCCUCCUCUCUUCCUUCUUCGGAGACCGCAUCCUCUACUCCGCAGUGCCGCUCCGCUCCUUUCUCCACCUUCACGCUGGUCCUUUCUGCCCAUUUCUCUUUCACUUAUUAGCAAUUCAUUUGUAUUCAUCUUUAAAAGUUUAAGUUGUCAGAGAACUAUGUUUCAGUAUUUUAUAUUGGUAAAAAUGUACAGAACUUUUCUAAAUUAUGAAUCAUAUUUUAAUUUUACUACUUAAUCUUUUAAUUUGUUUGAUUUGAGCUGGCAAACGAUGCUUUGACUUCAAAAUUUAAAAUAGUUACUUAUUUUAAUAAAUAAUUUGCAUGAAAUAUACUAACUAAACUUAUAAAGAUAAACAAUUCAUUCAAAUUUUAAAGUCAAAGUAUCGUUGACUGAGUCAAAUCAAUUAAAUUAUAAGGUUGGGUAGUCAAAUGAAAAUGGUUCUAUAUGUUUUACUUUUUAUAUUUAAUCUCCUCUCGCAUCUAGCUCAGGGAGCCUGAUGCGUACUCAAGACAUCGUAUUCUUAAUAUUAUGUUAAAUAAUGUGAAAUAAAGUCACAUAAACGUGCUUUUAUUUGAAAAAAAAUAAAUAAAUUGGUCUUCAAAAUUAAGCUAGAGCUUUGCUCAUUUGCUAAUGAGAAUCUAUAGAAAAAGUUGACAUAGCUGUUUCUCGUGGUAAGUUUAAUAAGUGCCAAUUUAAUCUUUGCCAAAGAAAUUUCUGUGGUAGAUAAUUAACUGCUAUAAUGGCUCUGUAUAUUUGGCCCUCUUUUCUUUUGGCAGGAAAUAAGCAAGCAUCAGUGCAGUUGUCCAGAACUUUGUGCAAUUUAGCUGAUCUUCUCUUUAAUAGAAGGUAUGCAUUCUGCAUCCAAAGCAACGAAAAAAUUUACCUCUGGUCCAGAUGUUGAGUAUGUGCAUAGUAAUAGCAGUAGUUAUUAGGGUAUCGAUUGAAGUAUUAAAAUAUCGAACCAAUUUAAUCUCCUUGUUUUAGGUGGUUUAUAUGUAAAGAUAAAAAAAAAAAAAGAUUACCUAAUUGUAUCGCACGGUCGAGCUGAUUUACAUGAAUAAGUUUCUUACGAUCAUAAGAAUUGCCAUUCUUAUUGCUGUCUUCUAAAAGGACUAAAGUAGUUAAAUUGCAAUCUGUAUUUUAUUUUUUUUACUUUUUCCUCAGUUUUUUAGUUGUUGAUUUUGCAGAGAUAAGGAUGACUUGUUAAAUAAUAAGCGGAAACGUCUGCAACCUGGGAACGUUUCUCCUUGUCUAGAAGUUCCUGAUCAUAUACCUCGGCCUCCAUAUGUAAAUUCUCGUCAAUCACCUGGAAUCGCUUUCGGACCUGAAAUUCAUGACGAAAGGGGAAUAGAAUGCAUGCGAGCUUCUGGACGGCUUGCUGCUCAAGUUUUGGAGUAUGCUGGGAAUCUUGUUAAGGUAAUGUUGAUUACUACAUAGUUGUAAACCUGAUGUCUUAUGUUUUUCCUGGCUCUUUUCAUUCAUUUAACCAUAGUUGUUUGUGUACUUAAUGAAUGAUAGACUUUUAUGUUAUGUAAUUAAAGAAAAAAAAUGCAUGCAAGUGACGUUUGAAGAGAUGCAUGAACAUUUUGUGAUAUAUCUAUCUUCAGUUUCCACUUUAGCAGCUUACGUUACCCUUAUAGAAUUCAAUCUUCUCAUUCUCUUUCUAUAGGCAUAUACUGUCCUGGUAAUAUAUUUGAUAUGGUAUUGUAUACAUUGUGAAUGCAAAAAUGCAAACCACAUUAUAAAAACUCACAUAGGGUAGAGUCAAAUAGAUUCUAAAAGCUUUUGUGAAGUACGGAAUUAGGAAUUCCAUGUUUGGAGCCUAAAAUUUGGAUGCUAGGUUAACAGUUGCUUGUUUGUCCGAUAGAAGUGGCAGCCAACCAGUUAAUAGGAACGGGUCGGCCUGUUUGCAGUAUAGAUUUUUUUGAACUUUUACCGUGUUUAUUUUCUUUAAAAUCAACUGAUUACUUGGGGACUAAUGAUUGCUCUUGAAGCCAAAAGAAUCUUCCAAAGAGUUGAAAAAAAACAAAAGAGAUUUAGAGAAGGGAAGAUUUUGGUUUCAUAUGAAAUAAACAAAAGUAGGCAGGGGGAGAGGGAGAGGAACAACUAGCAUAGUUUAUUCUGAUUAUUAUACUUACCACUUUUAAAUGUCAAAUAUAAAUAUUUUCUCUAUCGGCAGCCAGGUACAACGACUGACGAGAUUGACAAAGUAGUACACCAAAUGAUCAUCGACAAUGGAGCAUAUCCUUCACCUCUUGGCUAUGGUGGCUUCCCAAAGAGUGUUUGCACAUCAGUAAAUGAAUGUAUUUGUCAUGGAAUACCAGAUUCACGUGCACUUGAGGUUUGUUCUUUCUUGCUUUGUUUUAACUUAAUAUCACUUUCAUACUGACAUGAUCUAGUGUGCAGGAUGGUGACAUUAUCAACAUUGAUGUUACCGUCUAUCUCAAUGUAAGUCCACCAUAAUGUUCCUUUAUAUUUACUUUUCAUUUGCAUCUUGGUAUGUUCGGCCAAUACUUGAAAGUGUAUCAGCACCAUUUUGCAGUCCUAAUUUUGAUUUUAGUCCCUUAAUACAACAUCAUCUUGCUCAAAGUGAGAAUAGGAGGAAAAUCUGGCACUUAUCUUACGACUCCAAGUUGCUCCUUAAUAUCUUGCUGCUGUGUGGAACGGUCAUUAGAUAUUUGGACAGCAUUCUUAACUCCUAUCUGUUCUUGUAGGGUUAUCAUGGUGAUACAUCUGCCACAUUUCUUUGCGGUGAUGUCGACGAGGGAGCUAAGAAAUUAGUAAAGGUGAAGACGUGAAUUAAUAUAAUUUUCUUUAAUAUUUUUAACCGCAUGCUUUUUCAGACAAAUUUAUCCUUAAACAAUCACCAACAAUUGCAUAACAUCAGAACAAGUGAAUCGCGAAACAUAUUGUUUUUGCCUUUUUUUCCCCUGUUUCUGGAAUUUCUUAGGUGCUUCUGGGUGAAUUGUAGAUGGGGAGGAUACUAUCUUUAUGAUUUUGGAUUUUGCAUUUGAGAAAUGUUGUUUUGUUGUCUUUAGGAACCCAUAGUUGUUAAAAUGAAUCAGAGCACCAGAAAUGUCCCGACUCUCCAUAGAUAAUAUUUGAUGAUGCGACCUUUUUCAUUUUGUACUUAUUCCAAAAACGAAUUCCACUUCUUGGUUCUAGUAUACUGCAGUCAAGUAAGAACAAAAGAUGACUUGUAAAUUCACCACAAAGAAAUAACGGUGUUGUUCUGAUAUUCUCGAUGCGUCCUACUGUAAGGUAGAGUCCUUGAAACAGCUUCCAUCGCUAUUGUUCAUAUUUUAUUUCUGUGCAAUUGUUUAAUUUGUCUAGCAUCUUUUGGAAAAUUUUGACUUCCUUUUUUGCAUCAAGAGUGAUCUUAAUUAUCUUUCUCCUUUGUUUAUAUUUUUUCCCAGUUUCUUGUUGUAUUUUUACAUGUUGUCAUUCAUAUUCCUAAUAGUGUUAAAUGGAAUAUGACCAUAGUUAUAAUUGCUAUGUAAAUCGGCCAGUUACUAUUUUGUCUCUGAAUUUGGAUUAUAAUCUUGCAAUUAAAAGACAGUCUCUGAGCGCAUUAUUUAUCUUUUUUGGAGCAAAUAAUGACAUCAGUAUAGUUCAGGUAACAAAAGAAUGUCUUGACAAGGCAAUAUCGAUAUGUGCUCCGGGAGUGGAGGUCAACCGCAUUGGGAAAACCAUACAGUAUGUACUUUGAGCAUGAACUAUUAAUUUCAAUAUGUGCUCUUUAUGUAUUGAUUACGUUCUGUGUCCGCAUUUUUGGGAACAAUCAAUAAGUGCUUUUUAUGUAUUGAAUAUAUUCUUAAUGUCCACAGUUCUGGGAACAAAGUAAUCGUAAGUUUAACAAAUCAAGUGUUUUCAAGUGAUCAUGCAGAUAAAUUUCGGUUUGGUGUAGUUCGACAAUUUGUUGGUCAUGGAGUUGGGCGAGUGUUCCAUGCUGAUCCUGUUGUUCUUCAUUACAGUAAGCUCUGAAAGCAACAAGGAUGCCUUUUUUCUUGUUUUAAAGCCCAUCACACAGAUCAAGUAAAUAUAAUAAUCUAUUUAUCUUCUUUGUGCAACUUAGCAUUUUUAUCAGAUCCAGAAUGUACAGAACAUGUUAGCUGAACUGCUUAUUUGACUUACUAUAGCUGUCUAGUGUUAGAGCAUAAUAUUUUCCCAUGUAUAACUAAUUUAGGGUCAUAAAUAUGUAGAUCAUGUUCUUUGACAUUUUGUAUUGUAUCGUUAUUUUAGCAAUCAAUAGCUCUCAUCUUUGGUGUAUGAUGCUCCAUACUAAUAUUUUAUGCGAAAAUCAGAAUAAACUUUAUUCUCUUCUGUUUUUUAAUUCAAGAAAAAAAAAAAGAAAUCUCUUCUGUUUGGUAUAUGUUUAGCUUAUCUGGUAACUACAUAUUCCAGCUUUGCAUCAUUAUGAUUGUUCUGGAUGUAUCUGAUUCGGGAAUGAUAUUGGUUGGUUAUUUUGUAUAACAUAUUUUAUAUUAGAGAAAUUGGAAAGGGCGUUGUAUAUAUUGAAUUUUGUUUGGUAGCUACAAAAGUUAUGCUCAACUGAAGCACGUAGCCUGGCCAGAACAGAGACCAACAAGCAGCAGUUCAAUUUUGAAAAUGAUAGCAUAACUUGGGAAGGAUUGGAAGUGCUCCUUUUCCUAGGAGAACAUGCCAAUCUCUGUAUUGAAUCAGCUUUUGGUUUUAAAGCUUAUGCUGUGCUCUCUCUUUUGCAGGAAAUAAUGAAUGUGGACGCAUGGUAUUAGGUCAAACAUUUACAAUAGGUACUCCUAUUAACUCUGUUUUGUAUUUGCUAUUUAUCAAAUCAUGCAAUUAGUCCUUUGAUCAACUUGUAGUAUCAGUCCUUUCUAAAGUUUCAUUAGAUUUAUGGAAGAAUUCAUAAGAUCACUUGAAAAGAUGUUAAUCCCUCACUUUCAUCCAAGCAUUUGAGACAAGCCGCUUCAUAAUAAGAUGCUGAGAUUAGACUUAAUCUCCAAAUUCUGCCUCCUAAUAGCCCAUAAAGGUGCUCUAGUUUUAGUUAUUGAUGUCUGCAGCUCUGUCGAAUUUAGUUCUUGGGAAUAUUCUGGCGUUUUUAGUGGGUAAAGUCGUAUGGUCCAUAUCAUUUGCUUCACUUUCACUUUCAUGUACCUUAAAUAAAGACAAUGUUGUUUCGAUCAGCAUCUAUCAAUUAGUUUGCAACUUCGAAAACUUUGAGCGAUGUUUGCACAAGUUUACUGUUUGAUUGAUUGCAAAUUUGGAGGAAACUCGAAUAAAUAACUUCUAUGUAAGACAAUAGGAACUCACAUAGCCUGUUUUGAUUUAUAAUGCAGAGCCCAUGCUAACAAUGGGGAGCACAAAUCCUAGGAUAUGGGCCGAUAAUUGGACCGCGGUGACAGAAGAUGGGAGCUUGUCGGCGCAGUUUGAGCACACGAUAUUGAUUAUAGAAAAUGGGGCAGAAAUACUUACAAAAUGCUAAGAUUUGUGAACCCUGAACAAUUUAUCCUCCCUUUAUUUUUCUUUUAAUUAUCGAACAAGCUAUAUUCAUUGCAAAAGCAAUUGCUACUCCCUGGUGGGUCAUUUAUUGAAAUUUGAAAUUUGAGUCGCUUUCACUGAGGAGACUCAAUGCGAACUCAUUUUUCCAUGGAAGAUCUCGUCUUAUUAGAGUUAAGGAUUGAUCAUACUUGCUAUGAGUUCCGUGCUCGAGGGCGGUCGCUCCCCCUCGGGCGAUGCGCUCUGGAGUUUUGCAUCACGGGUUGGAGUAAACUCGAGGACGGUCUUAGCGGGAGGCAGCUGAGGGCCCGCGAUGAUGGACUUAAUGUGGGCAAGUUAAUGUGGCGAAACCCCCAGGUUAGCCGUGAGAUUAAAGGACAAAGAACAAAGAACAAAGAACAAAGCUUAAAGAAUAAAGAGUAAAGAACAAAGAACUUCCAUACUUGCAUGAUUUACGUUGAGCAUAUUCCUUGCUUUAUUGUUCAGGCAUAUUAGCAUCAUGAUUAUAGUUGGGCUACUAUUCUACUUAUCCUUUCUAUUAUGCCUGAGUUAGUCCUAGUGGGAAAGUCGGUGAUGUUGGGGCCGAAUCCACUGGGAACUUCGUUGUAGUUCUCACUCGACUAAUUCCACAGAGUCGGGACUGAGCGAGCCGGCGAGCGACCGCGGUAAAGGUAUCGCACCUUAGUCAGAGGCCACCAGAGUUGGGUUUACAUUUUGUAGUAACGUUCCCUUACUUCAUCUUUUGUACUUGAAGAUGUUUAAAGUAAAGAAAAAGAAUGUAAAGUUUUAUUUUGAGGCAAUGUGAUGUAAAAAGAAAUGAUGAAAAGUAUGUAAAGAACUAUGAAUGCAAUGUAUGUGAUCAAAAGUUGUAUCAUAAUACUUGAGUAGAUGUUUAGUUUCCUUUCUUUAACUCAUAGCUAUUGCUUACCCUCAUGUAAGCCGUUUGUGUAUGUUUUCGCUAGUGCACUUUUGUUUGAAAAUUGUACAUGUGAUGAGCCUUGGGCGGACAGGAAAAAUUCUGUCCGUUCAGCGUUUGUUUGACGUGCUCGGGUCGGCCCAAAUUGGUAUCGGUUUCGGGGCGUGACAGAUAUUGUGGUAUCAGAGCCUAGAGUGAAAGAAUAGGAAUGGACCUAGAGACCCUUAGGAUUGGAAGACCUUAAGGAUCUAGGAAACGUGAGUGACGUGGAAUUAAAAUUAGUGAAAGCAUGUGAUUGGGGUAAGUUGGGACGUCUCUAAUGUGAUUAGAUGCUAAGUUUAAUUUUUAUUUGUUUCCUACUCCUUGUUUUGUGUCGGGCGGCCGACGACAUAAUGCUUGGGGCAAGAAUGAAUGCAUAAGUUGCUUUCACCGUAUUGGGUAUGGUCAAGUAAUGUUGGUCAUGUAGCUAAUGCGAGUUGCUUCUUUUCAGGAAGCAAUGGCACCUCGUGGACGACCACAGCAAGGUCGAUGCCGGAGGAGCCGAGUGCGGAGACCGAGCGAUCCGGAGCGAGUAGCGACGGAGAGCUUAGGGAGCAAAUGGUUGCGCUCAUUGGAGUAGUGCGACAGCAAGCGGAGUUCGUGUGAAGCCAAGGGGAGCAGAUCCAGAGGCUCCAAGAGGCUAUUGAGCGACAACAGGCGGCGGCGAUGCAGGCGGGUGCCGGACCUUCUGCGCCCCCUGUUGCGGUCGAGGGUUCGGCGGAGCCGGUUGCGGCUGUGCCAGUUACGACGGUGCCGGCUGGAUCGGGAACCUCAAAUCCCGAUAGUGCGGCAGUUGAGGCGGAGCGGGAGCGCACGCUGACGGCGCUCAUCCAGCUCCAGAAGUUCAACCCACCUGUCUUUGAAGGUGGCAUGGUGGAGCCGGCGGUUGUGGAGUCGUGGAUCGACUCGAUGGAAACGCUCUUCGAGGACCUCAAUACCUCGGAGAAAGACAAAGUGUAUCUCGCCACCUAUUGUCUUGAGAGGGCGGCAAAGGUGUGGUGGAAGCGAAUUAGGGGAGAUCGACCUACCGAUCUUCCGCUUAUGUUUUGGGAGGAGUUCAGAAGAGCGGUGUUCGCGAACUACUUCCCCGACACGAUGAAGCGGAGACUACAAGAGAAGUUGCGACAGGGCGACCGAUCGGUGGGAGAAUAUGAGCAAGAGUUCUCUCACAUUAUCGACUGCAUUCCCAAUGUUGUUAGAGAUGAUCGUGAUCGGGUUGAUUGGUUCUUGCGAGAACUCCAGCCGAGAAUUUAUGAAAAGGUGCAGAUCUUGAAGCUAACGACCUUUGCGGAGGUCUUUGAUAGAGCAUUGUGGGCGGAGCAUGGUAGCGCCUAUGUGCGUAAAAAACGGGAGGCUAUGGCCGAGAGCAGGGACAAGGGCAAGAAGCGAACAGCGGGUGGUGCCGGGGGCCGGCCAAAUGCUAAGAAACCCCCUCGGUAUCCCCGACAACAAUCGAGGAACUGGAGACCACCUCGGUGCGUCAUUUGUGGCGGUGAGCACCGAGUGUCGACUUGCCCGCAGUGUGACGGUAAGUGUUUCAAGUGUGGCCAACCGGAACAUCUUAUCCGGGAGUGCCCGAGCUGGACGUCGUCUGCGCCGACAGCGGCGUCAGCACCGUCUACCCCGAGACAGCUUGCGGGGUUGCCACGAGCAAUGUCGGCUGGGCGUGCGUCAUCAUCGCGUCAGCCGAAGGGAUCGAGAUUUUGGAGUCUUUGCCGCUCAGGUGGAGGAGCAGUAGCCUGCAGCACCCGACGACGUCAUGAUAGGUAUAAUUGUGAUUAAAGGCACUAGAGCUAGAGCAGUAUUUGAUACAGGCGCAUCUCAUUCAUUCAUUAGCGCAUCAUUUGCUCGAACUCAUGACUUAGAAAUGGCAUAUAGUGAGGACUAUUGGUGGGUGAACGCCCCAGAACAUUCGUUCAGUGUCCAUGAUGAGUGUUUGGCGUGUCCAGUGCAAAUAGGCCAUUGGAUUAUGCCGAUUGAUCUACUAGUGCUAGAUCAGAUGUGGGGAUUUGAUGUUAUCUUGGGGACCAACUGACUCUCCAAGUACUAUGCGGUUAUAGAUUGUGAAAGUAAGGUGGUCACUUUUCGUGAGCCUAAUCAAGAAAAGUUCGUGUACUAAGCGUGAAAGAGUAGGCGCUUCGCGACGACCAUAUCGUCUGUAAGGGCGAAGAGGAUGAUCAAAGAAGGGUGUAAGGUCUAUUUGGCAAUUAUGGUCGAUGCUCGAAAGGAGUACCCAGAGUUGGGAAAUAUUCAGUAGUGUGCGAGUACCCGGAUGUGUUUCCGACGGAGUUACUGGGACUGCCACCGGAUCGGAAAGUUGAGUUUGUCAUUGACUUAAUUUUCGGGGCGGAACCAGUUUCGAAGGCUCCGUAUAGAAUGGCACCGGUGGAGUUAAAAGAGCUAAAAGGCCAACUACAAGACUUGCUCGAUAAAGGCUUCGUGAGGCCGAGCGUGUCACCGUGGGGGUCUCCGGUGCUAUUUGCGAAGAAAAAGGAUGGUACACUUUGACUCUGUGUAGAUUAUCGUGAGUUGAACAAAGUAACGAUAAAGAACAAGUAUCCGUUGCCAAAGAUUGACGAUUUAUUCGAUCAGUUGCAAGGGUUCAGAGUGUAUUCGAAAAUUGAUCUCCAAUCGGGGUAUCAUCAAUUGAAAAUUAGGCCGAAGGAUGUGCACAAGACGGCGUACCGUAUGCGGUAUGGCCAUUAUGAGUUCACGGUAAUGCCGUUUGGGUAUACUAACGCCCCGGCAGCAUUUAUGGACUUGAUGAAUCGAGUCUUCAGGCCGUUGUUUGAUCGAUGCGUCGUGGUGUUUAUAGACGACGUAUUGGUUUACUCAAAGAGUGAAGAGGAGCAUGAAGAGCACUUGAGAGCUGUGUUACAAAUACUCAGACAGGAGAAACUCUAUGCAAAGUUGAAGAAGUGUGACUUUUGGCUAAAGAAGGUCAUAUUCUUGGGCUAUGUGGUGUCGGGCGACGGAGUGUCGGUAGACCCGAAGAAGGUAGAGGCAAUAAAGGAUUGGCCUCGCACGACAAAUGUAGCGGAGGUCCGCAAUUUUCUUGGACUUGCGGGCUACUACCGGCAGUUCGUAGAGGGGUUCGCCAAGAUAACCACUCCACUAACGCGCCUCACGCAUAAAGGAGUAAAGUAUGUUUGGAGCGACGAUUGUGAUCGGAGCUUCGAAGGGUUAAAGAACAGGUUGCGUCGACCCCGGUGCUUGCCUUGCCGACUCCGGGGGAGACUUUUGUGAUGUACAGUGAUGACUCGUACGUUGGUCUCAGGUGUGUACUAAUACAAAAUGGGCGGGCCAUUGCUUAUGCAUCGCGCCAAUUAAAGAACUAUGAGAAGAAUUACCCGAUUCACGACCUCGAGUUAGCCGCGGUAAUCUUCGCGCUAAAGCUUUAGAGGCAUUACUUGUAUGGUGAGCAUUGUGAGGUCUACACAGAUCACAAGAGUCUCAAGUAUCUGUUCACCCAGAAAGAAUUGAACAUACGGUAAAGAUGGUGGUUGGAGUUGUUGAAGGACUAUGACGUUACUGUACUAUACCACCCUGGGAAAGCCAAUGUUGUGGCCGAUGCUCUAAGUAGAAAAUUGGCGCAGAACUUAGCGAUGGCAAUUACGCCUCAACCGCUAUUGCAAAAGGAGAUGCAAAGGCUUGGGUUGGAAGUGGUCGCGCCGGGAGUGCUAGCUACACUUGCCGCAUUAGUUGUGCAACCGACCCUAUUGGAAAGAAUUAAGAAUCUUCAAGCUUCGGAUCCUUAUCUUCAAAAGGAGCGGAGUGAAGUUGAGAAUGGUAGUGCCGAGGAUUUUGGCAUUGGAGCCGACGGCGCACUUCGAUUUCGAAAUCGAUGGUGUGUGCCUAAAGAUGAUGAGUUACGAAGGGCGAUCAUGCAGGAAGCACACCAAUCUCUCUAUAGCAUACACCCGCGCGGCACUAAAAUGUAUAAGGACUUGAAAAAGCAUUAUUGGUGACCGGGUAUGAAGAAAGAUAUUGGGGAGUUCGUGGCGCAAUGUUUAACGUGCCAAUAGGUGAAAGCCGAGCGCCGAUUUUCGGCAGGAAAGUUACAAAGGCUAUCAAUAUCCGUUUGGAAAUGGGAAGAUAUAGCGAUGGACUUUAUUACCGGUUUGCCUCGAUCACAAGGCGGACACGAUGCGAUAUGGGUGAUAGUGGAUCGAUUGACAAAGUCGGCACACUUCUUGCCGAUACAUACUACGUGGUCAGGAGACAAGCUAUGUAACACACUGGACUUUCGGAAAUGGUAAGGUUCGAGUGUUUGAUCUGUGUUCCGAAUUUUUUCAGAUAUUCUGAAGGGUCGUUGACAAUGUUCCGACCUAUGGCUUGUAUCCCGAGAUUUGUGAUUUAAAACUUUGCACCAAAACCCAAAAAGUUUGAUUAUUGGUGUGCUCUCGGUUAGCCUUCAGCAGGCUGUGUACCGUUACAGGGUUGAUGGCUGUACCGGUACGGAGUGAUGGUUGUACCGGUACGUGGGGCCGUGUACCGGUACACAGGCAGCUUCUCAGCCAACUCGAGGCUCGGGUUUGGCAUUUUCGUGGGGUGUGUACCGGUACGCGACCUCGUGUACCGGUACGCAGUGCAGUCCGCAGACUGCUUGAACUGUAGGGGUGUUUUUUUGAUUGUAACUUCUCUAUAUUAGUACCCCACGCCCCCUGGUAUUCCUUGAGGUUGGAACCAGUGGAGAGGAAGGUAAGGGAGCUCUUUAUUCUCCCUCUUUGAUUUUCUUUGUUUUGUUGGGAUUUUUCGAGGUUUAAUCCUCUCUUUUUGCUCCUUUUUGCUACGCGGUGCUAUUUCCACCAUGGGAGAAAGCUUGAGGUUUGCAGUUGAGCUUGUUGAAGGAGAGAUCUUCAACCCUAGUUGACUUCUAGCCUAGUUGGGAGCUUCUAUAAAGGUUAGUAACAUGUUUCUCUUAGAUUCAUGUUUUACUUGAUUUUUGUUUAGAAACCCUGGAAAUGAGGAUUUGAGGCUUGAUUUGGAGAUUUUUGACCUAGGGCUUUUAGAGCUCGAUUGAUCGGUUUAGAACCUUCCUCUAGAUUGGAUUGGAAGGGUUCUAACUCCCAUUUGGAACUUGAGAGGGAUUCUCUACACUUAGGUGAGAUAUUAUCCUUUUCUUGAGUUGGUUAAUGUUUAACCUAUUCGUUGUUCGUAACGUUUGUGUAUCGCUCCUACUUUAACCUUUAGGGGGUUAGGAAGCUUGUGGGCACCUUCGUUGGCGCAAACGAAGGCCGUGUGGAACUCUCGGUGGGUUUAGCCUCACCAAAAUGGGAUAAAUCAUCCCUAUAAUGGUUUUACUUUUCGUAAAAUGAAAAUGCAUGCAUAUUCUUGCUAGAUAGAAUAUUUGAGAAUUUUAGAAUGCUUAAUAUGUCAUGCCCCGAGCCCGCCUCUUUGGUCGGAUUCGGGCACGCCAACAGACAGCCGAACGGAAAGGAUUUUUCUUGUACCGCGGACAGAGUCUCCCUGUACGUUCAAGGCGUCGCAAUCAAUACAAUAUACGAAGUUCCAACUAGUAACACAUUUCAACCAAAGAUUGUAUAAGGAAGUAUCAAAACAUAAAUCUACUUACUAUUACAAGCAUUCAUCUCACAUAGUAUAUUUUUACAUUCUUAGGUUACAUCACAUUUGAUUCCUUGAUUCUUACUUCCAAAUACAAUCAAAUUAUUACAAAUUUAUUACUAGUUUGAUACAUCUUGUUCUUUCAUUUUCUAUAUCCCUAAGUAGCCGACUCAGGGUAUUGCUACCUGGUCUCUGUGGUAGGGCGCUAUCUACGAAGUUACGCCCUUGCCUCGCGACGCCGCGCCGCUCUCGUGCAAACCUGUAACACUCCAAAACAACGUGGGGUGAGAACCAACUCCAUGGUUCCCAAUGGGUACGACCACCCAAGAGAAGAGCUCGACCAUCAGAUCCAAAUGAGGCAAACAACAUGUUAGUCCAAUAGAUAGAUAUGAAAUCAUGCAGCUAACAUUACCAUACUUUUGCCUCACAACAUGCAAUAUGUAAAUUAUGCAACUCAUAUAAGUAGAUUUAUUGUUUCUACUCUUUAUUCUUAUCCAUUCUUUACUUUUAGUCAUUCUUUACUUUACUGGCUAUUCUUUAGCAUUUGCCUUUCUUUAUUCUUUAUUACUUGCCAUUUUUUAGCAUUAACCUUUCCUUAUUCUUUAUUCUUUAUUCUUUAUUCUUUAUACUUUACUAAGAGUACUCACACCUUAGUAAUAUUAUACACAUUAGCCUUUCUUUCCUAGGAUUACUUUACCUUAGCUAACUAUGCCAUCCGACUCGGUUUUAAGUCAAUCAACUGCGUAUAGACCGCACUCUGUCCGGCUCGAGGCGAAGGAACUCUCACAUGCACCUCAGCCUUCAAUCACAAACCACAUCGCCCAACGGGUCGCCUAGAGCUGCGUACACCCGUGGUCAGGGAUCCCCCGGUGGGAGAGGGACAUACCGCAUAUGCCCGCAGCCGAGAUCCCCGAUAGGGAGAGGAACAUGCCACAUGCACCCUAGCGCUCAUGAUUCUUGCUCAAUAACAAGCCUCGAAGUUCUUCCGGUGGGAGAGGAACACGUCGCAUGUACCCGCGGCCAAGAACUAUCGAGCUUGUAUGCUGCACUAGCAGCCGCUGCACUAGCAGUAGGGAUUCCGGAAUCCACUUUACAUAACUCAAGGGUUAGUCUCACCCUAUGUUAUCGACCUAUCUAGGUCCAAGUCUUUACUCAACCUAAGUUAAUACAUUAGGUUCAAUGUCAUUAUCUUCUUAGCCUAGAUUCAUUAACACUAGGUUCAAUAUUCUUAAUCACCUAGGUUCAUUUAACUCUAGGUUUCAUGUCACUACAUUCACAACCUAGGUUUACUUGACUCUAGGUUUCGUGUCACUACAUUCACAACCUAGAUUUACUUGACUCUAGAUUUAAUGCCACUCAUGUUCUUGUUAUCCUAGUUGUCGACACCUAGGAAUCAUACUUGUCAUGCUACUCGUGAAUAACCUAUGUUAAAUGACACUAGGUUCAAUGCCACUCGUCAUCCUAAUUAUUUAUACUUAGAAUUCUUUACAUAUGACACUUGUCGAGUUCUUUACUUUACUUAGAGUUUAUUGACUCAAAUUCAACCUUUAUGUCGUACUAGCAUAUUCUCAUAUUAGGAAUCAUGCAUACAUUCUUUACUAACAUUUCAAUCAUGCACUUGUAUAUCAUCUAGCUCAUAUGUUUAUUCAACAUACAUCACAUACAUGUCUUUAGCGUUUAAUUCAUGCUUCAUCUAGCAUUUCUAUAACAUAUCAUCAUGCAUUGGUUUAGUGUUUUUAUAUUACGUCAAUAUGCAUUCUUUUAACAUUUCCUAUUAUGACAACAUGCAUUCCUUAGCAUACAUUUUAUACGUUCAUUACUUGGCACAUAUCACAUGCAUUACUUAGCAUCUAUCACAUGUAUUUAUUCAUUAACAACUUUAUCAUGCAUUCUUACUUAGCAUUUCUACUACCACCAUGCAUCAAUAGUGAAAUACAUUAUCCUUUGGCAUGAAAGCGACCUAAUCGCUUCGGUAAACACAACCCACCUUUUAACGCAUUCCAAUUGCUUGUAGUCACUUGCAAUCGGCCUCCCGCGGCAUCCGUGACCCGGUUUGGCCCGAACUCUUGUGCGACCAUCCGAACGGCCACCAAUCCGCGAUUCGUCUGUUCGGGAGUUUAUUCCCCGACACCACGAUACUUCUGAUCCGUUUUCAUGAUUUUUGGAGGCUUAUCCCACGUGCUGCGGCUAUCUGUACCAAAAAAGACUGUUUCGUUAAUAACUUCGCGUACACUAAUCGGAUUGUCGAACCGAGUGCACCAACGCGUUCGUUAUACCCCCAAUUAGGUUUGUAUAGGGUCAAUUGAGAUCAAAACCCCUCACAAGCAAAAGCCCUCUUUUUGGAGCGCUAAAUCACCAUUGUUGCAAUUAGCUUCAUACAAGCUAUUAAUCUCACAAUAAAUGAGAUCAACUACUCUUAGAGCACAAAUAAACAUCAUCUAGCUAAGUUCAAAGAGGUCUAAGCCAAGCUCUAGCCAUUCACCAUGAGAGACUCAAAGAGCUUACCUCAACUAGCUAGCAAGAAGAUGAAGAAGAUGAUGUUGGUCCUUCUCCAAGCUCCAAUCUCCACCUUCUCCUCCUAAAUCCACUCUUAGAGAGAAAGAGGGAGAGCUCCUAGAGAGAGAGGAGAGAGCAUCUCUCUCUACCAAUAUGUGUGUGUGUGUGUUGGAAUGAGGAGGAAGAAGGAGUAGAGUCAAAGCCCUUCAUAUAUGCCAACUUCCCCUUAAUUACCAACCUGCCACUGCUCAUUUUGGGCAUUUUUCGGGCUCAGGGACCGGUCCUUGGACUUGAGGGAUAUGUCCCCGUAGGGUCCAAAAUUCCAGCAUUUAGGAUUUAGCCAAAUUUUCAGCUUUUUCACCGUUUUCGCUCCGUUUUCGCUCUUUUUCGCUCGUUUGACAUCCGAUUCGUUUCAAAUCGAACCGAGACUCUCCAAACAUAUUUUCAUGCAUGUUUUCAUCAUCUUUUCAUCAACGCUAAUGCCGGAUUUAGUCCAUGGUACAACAUAGCCUUUCGGGUCCCGUUUUCGCGCCCUAUGCGCACGAAGCACCCGAAUGCUCCCGAACUUCGCCGGAAUGAUUCCAACGGCUUUCUAAGCUAAGAUACAUCGUAACUUCAUGAAUUAGAAGUUCGGUACAUUACAUUCUCCACCCCUUAAAAAGAGUUUCGUCCGCAAAACUCAAUCCACACCUCAAUUCAGCUCCUCGAGCAAUUGAGGGCACUAAUGCAGUUUUUCACUUCGGAAGGGCUUUACUCUCUUUGGAACUAUCCAAGAGGACUACUACGGAGCUCAUGAUACUAAACGCAUCCAACUUUGCAAGGCACAUCUCACAAAGUGCAUUACGGUCUCUGUCAUUCUAGGGGGUAGCGCAAGUCGAAACUUGACGACUCUACGCGCUCCAACACCGCUUGCCACUCGGCACACAAAGAACUCUUUCUUGCAUUCACUUUCCUUCAGGGAAUGCAUUUCAACUCGAUCACCGACAUUGCCUAAAAGCAAUAUCACCAGUGCAUUCCUCGUGCGUGCUCUAAUUCCGCACCGACUUUUUGCUCUAAUGUGAGAUGGCCCACUUCGGCACAUCCCCACUUUCCAUCCUCAAAUUUCACGUGGCUUGCUAUUAGCUUAAGGCCUCACCAAGAGCACCUCAUUACCUAAUACCAUAUGGCACGAUCAACAUCAUACCACUUUCGCAACGACUCACACGAACACGUCGUUCGUGAACUCAAGUCAAACUUCCCGAUAAUGCUACUCGCAAAAUCACUUUCCUCGGUUUUUCACAGGUGAGCCGAAGGCCGCCAGUACUACAUAGGCCUAUAGCCUAAACCUGCCUCAACAUACGCGCAGCGCCUCUCGCUCACAAGCGUAGACCCAAUCAUAAUUGGGGCGAAAUUCUCACUUGGGAAUUCGCACACACUCGAACCAGGAGCAACCAAGACCCCAAACCGCAUUAAAUUCUCCGGUUGGGUCACAAUUCGUACUCUCAGCAUACUAUCAAUCGUACUAUAUGCUCUAUCGAGCAAUACGUACCACUAUCGGCUCCUAUGCACCUAGUGCGAGCCACCAGCCCCACGAGUGAUCCAAGGAACGCUUUACACUUCGCAAUGCCCAAGUGCUACUGUUAACAAACUCACUCGGCUGAUCCAUAUUCGUACUCCGUGAGUACCUGUACUCGGGCGUCGUACGCUACGAUGGCAUUCUACACUAAGUCUCGGCUUUGGACAAUCUUGCCGUCGCACAUCGUCCACCAAGCACAUUCUCCUACCUCACAUUGAGGUACAGCUAGGCCCACAGGCCAAACUUGGGUAGUAACCAACCACUCACUCAACAGUGAUUCACUUUCACUGUUCGAUCUACCGAAACAACAUCUGGAAUACUCGAACUGCUCGAGUAUCCACCAGCGUCAUAACUCAACUCUCACAAUCUGCUACACACAUUGCUUUGCGAGUCGGUUCAUCAUUUCCAUCUCUACUACGAGUCUCAUCACCAGACCAUCACUAGCAAUUCGCUAGUGCUACAUAGCUCGCUACCUGCACCAGCAGGUAUUACGCUCUUACAACACGAGCAUGCCCGGGUAUCUAUAUUUACCCGUCCACUUGGUCCUUACUAUACUACUACAUAUAGUAGUAAGUGGCUAUAUGCUCAAUGCAUGCAAUGCACCACUUCAUAUCAUGCAGAAACACAUAACUGCAUUAACUAAACCAUACCUGCCACGACGUCGUCAGCAGCAGGUCCCUCAACCUAGGUUGCGUGUCUGUAGCUACUUUGCACCCGCCGCGGACCCCUCGGUUGCAUCACCGUCAUCGCUCGCUCUCCUGAUCGCGCAGCAGGUGGCACACCCGCCGGCUGUCCCGGAGAGGAAAAAGCCGUCGCCAACGCCAAGGCCCAGCUAUCACCUUGCGGACACUCAUCCCGCAUGUGGCCUGGCUGCCCACAAUGGAUACAUCUUCCAUCACGCAGCGCGCACUGCCGCGCCUGGUGGGUACCACCACAAAUCACACAACCUGGGGAGGAUCGAGUAGAGGACGCUCCGAGUGGUGCCUAGAACUUGACUGCCCACCCGAACUGUUCGACAGUGGCCUCACCCAUCCCAGCUCAUGCUUACGAGGUUCGCGCUCCUCAUGCAUGAAAGCCUCGCCAUGCUCUGCCCACAAGGCUCUGUCUAACACCUCCGCGAAGGUUGUGAGCUUAAGGAUUUGCACCUUCUCGUAAAUCUCCGGUCGAAGUCCACGCAGGAACCAAUCGGCCAUAUCCUUGUCAUCUCGUACCACAUCCGGGAUGCAUCCCACGAUACGGAAGAAUUCUCGUUCGUAUUCCCUAACCGAGCGGUCUCCUUGCCGCAGCUUCCUGAACUUGUCCUGAAGCUUUCUCUUUUCACUGUCGGGGAAGUACGUAGAAAAUAACAAUCCCUAAAACUCUUCCCAAGUCAUGGGAGGAAGACUAGGUGAUCGAUUCCGCCGAAUGCCUUUCCACCACACCUUCGCCGAUUGCUUCAAGCAAUGCACAGCUAGGGGCACCUUGUCUCGCUCCAAUGUGUACAGCUCCUCGAAGAGCGUCUCCAUGGAGUCAAUCCACAUAUCACAAUCCAGGGAUCGACAUUCUCUCCAUUGAAGGUAGGCGGAUCAAACUUUACGAAGGUCAUAAGGGCCGCCAAAGCCCGCUCUUUCUCCGCCUCCACCAAUGCACUUUCGGGAGUCGGAUCGCCCGACCCCGAUGGAACCAUCUCUGCCGCAAGCCCCGCCCGUCCUCGACGAGCCGCAACUGGCGCAGCCACUAGCUGCUCCACGGUCUCCUGGAGUCUCUUGAUCUGUUCUUCCUGGCUCAUGGCAGCCUCCUGCUGACGCUGCACUACGCUCACAAGCACUCCCAAUUGUUCGCGGAGCUCCGAGUCUCCUCUCACUCCGGAUUGCUCAGGGACAUCACUUGUCCUAUCCCGCGUCGAUCUAGCCGAAGAUCGCCUACGCAGUGCCAUCGUUCCCUGAAACAUGACAACUCAAUUAAUUCUCAACCUUCGAGGUCGAGUACGAAACAUUUAACAUUGACUCAAAUCGGGCAAAAGUCAUACAAGGGCGUCUAUUCUCAUCACUCGGUUUCAUGUUGUCGUACGCCCAACAUGAACACACUCGGUUGAGAGUACACCGCACCUUGGAUCUACCUCUAACAUCCACUAUAGAGGUUUACCACAUAACCCAAUCCAUUAUCCUUUUGCCACAAAUUACAAGUUCUCGUCUCUCACGAGCCUUAAUCUCCUAUAGUUUACUAUCCUAGGGUCUCCUAGGUCAAACUAAACCAUUUCUUAUUACUCAUUUUUAAGUUCUUUUUAGGUUCUUUUUAUGCUUUGAUACCAUCUUAUCUGUCACGCCCCCAGCCCGCCUUUUUGAUCGGAUUCGGGCACGCCAACAGACCGCCGAACGGACAGGAUUUUCCUUGUACCGCGGACAGAGUCUCCCCUGUACGUUCAAAGCAUCGCAAUCAAUACAAUAUACGAAGUUCCAACUAGGAACACAUUUCAACCAAAAAUUGCAUAAGAAAGUAUCAAAACAUAAAUCUACUUGCUAUUACAAGCAUUCAUCUCACAUAGUACAUUCUUACAUUCUUAGGUUACAUCACAUUUGAUUCCUUAAUUCUUAUUUUCAAAUACAAUCAAAUUAUUAUAAAUUUAUUACAAGUUUGAUACAUCUUGUUCUUUCAUUUUUCAUAUUCCUAAGCAGCCGACUCAGGGUGUUGCUAUCUGGUCUCUGUGGUAGGACGCUAUCUACGAAGCUACGCCCUUGCCUCGCGCCGCCGCGCCGCUCUCGUGCAAACCUGUAACACCCAAAAAUAACGUGGGGUGAAAACCAACUCCAUGAUUCCCAGUGGGUACGGCCACCUAAGGGAAGAGCUCGACCAUCAGGUCCAAAGGAGGCAAACAACAUGUUAGUCCAAUAGAUAGAUAUGAGAUCAUGUAGCUAACAUUACCAUGCUUUUGCAUCACAACAUGCAAUAUGUAAAUUAUGCAACUCAUAUAAGUAGAUUUAUUGCUUCUACUCUUUAUUCUUAUCUAUUUUUUACUUUUAGUUAUUCUUUACUUUACUAUCUAUACUCACACCUUAGUAAUAUUAUACACAUUAGCCUUUCUUUCCUAAGAUUAUUUUACCUUAACAAACUAUGCCAUCAGACUCGGUUUUGAGUCAAUCAACUGCGGAUAGUCCGCGCUCUGUACGGCUCGAGGUGAAGGAACUCUCACAUGCACCUUAGCCUUCAAUCAUAAACCACAUUGCACAACGGGUCGCCCAGAGCUGCGUACACCCGUGGUCAGGGACCCCCGGUGGGAGAGGGACAUGCCGCAUACGCCCGCAGCCGAGAUCCCCGAUAGGGAGAGGAACAUGCCACAUGCACCCUAGCGCUCAUGAUUCUUGCUCAAUAACAAGCCUCGAACUUCUUCCGGUGGGAGAGGAACACGCCGCAUGCACCCGCGGCCAAGAACUAUCGAGCUUGUAUGCUGCACUAGCAGUAGGGAUUCCGGAAUCCACUUUACAUAACUCAAGGGUUGGUCUCACCCUAUGUUAUCGACCUAUCUAGGUCCAAAUCUUUACUCAACCUAAAUUAAUACAUUAGAUUCAAUGUCAUUACCUUCUUAGCCUAGGUUCAUUAACACUAGGUUCAAUAUUCUUAAUCACCUAGGUUCAUUGGACUCUAGGUUUCAUGUCACUACAUUCACAACCUAGGUUUACUUGACUCUAGGUUUAAUGCCACUCAUGUUCUUGUUAUCCUAAUUGUCGACACCUAGGAACCAUACUUGACAUGCCACUCGUGAAUAACCUAUGUUCAAUGACACUAGGUUCAAUGCCACUCGUCAUCCUAGUUAUUUAUACUUAGAAUUCUUUACAUAUGACACUUGUCGAAUACUUUACUUUACUUAGAGUUCAUUGACUCAAGUUCAACCUUCAUGUCGUACUAGCAUAUUCUCAUAUUAGGAAUCAUGCAUACAUUCUUUACUAACAUUUCAAUCAUGUACUUGUAUAUCAUCUAGCUCAUAUGUUUAUUCAACAUACAUCACAUACAUGUCUUUAGCGUUUAAUUCAUGCUUCAUCUAGCAUUUCUAUAACAUGUCAUCAUGCAUUGGUUUAGUGUUUUUAUAUUACGUUAAUAUGCAUUCUUUUAACAUUUCAUAUUAUGACAACAUGCAUUCCUUAGCAUACAUUUUAUACGUUCAUUACUUGGCACAUAUCACAUGCAUUACUUAGCAUUUAUCACAUGCAUUUAUUCAUUAACAACUUUAUCAUGCUUUCUUACUUAGCAUUUCCACUACCACCAUGCAUCAAUAGUGAAAUACAUUAUACUUUGGCAUGAAAGCGACCUAAUCGCUUCGGUAAACACAACCCACCUUUUAACGCGUUCCGAUUGCUUGUAGUCACUUGCAAUCGGCUUCCCGGGACACCCGUGACCCGGUUUGGCCCGAACUCUUGUACGACCACCCGAACGGCCACCAAUCUGAGAUCCGUUUGUUCGGGAGUUUAUUCCCCGACAUCACGAUACUCCCGAUCUGUUUUCAUGAUUUUUGGAGGCUUAUCCCGCGUGCUGCAGCUAUCUGUACCAAAACAGACUGUUUCGUCAAUAAUUUCGCAUGCACUUGUUGGAUUGUCGAACCGAGUGCACCAACGCGUUCGUUAUACCCCCAAUUAGGUUUGUAUAGGGUCAAUUGAGAUCAAAACCCCUCACAAGCAAAAGCCCUCUUUUUGGAGCCCUAAAUCACCAUUGUUGCAAUUAGCUUCAUACAAACUACUAAUCUCACAAUAAAUGAGAUCAACUACUCUUAGAGCACCAAUAAACAUUAUCUAGCUAAGUUCAAAGAGGUCUAAGCCAUACUUUAGCCAUUCACCAUGAGAGACUCAAAGAGCUUACCUCAACUAGCUAGCAAGAAGAUGAAGAAGAUGAUGUUAGUCCUUCUCCAAGCUCCAAUCUCCACCUUCUCCUCCUAAAUCCACUCUUAGAGAGAGAGGGAGAGCUCCUAGAGAGAGAGGAGAGAGCAUCUCUCUCUACCAAUAUGUGUGUGAGUGUGUGUGUUGGAAUGAGGAGGAAGAAGGAGUAGGGGCAAAGCCCUUCAUAUAUGCCAACUUUUCCCUAAUUACCAACCUGCCACUGCUCACUCUGGGCAUUUUUCGGGCUCGGGGUCCGGUCCUUGGACUUGAGGGACCGGUCCCCGUAGGGUCCAGAAUUCCAGCAUUUAGGACAGCCAAAUUUUCAGCUUUUUUACCGUUUUCGCUCCGUUUUCGCUCGUUUUCGCUCGUUUGGCAUCCGAUUCGUUUCAAAUCGAACCGAGACUCUCCAAACAUAUUUUCAUGCAUGUUUUCAUCAUCUUUUCAUCUACGCUAAUGUCGGAUUUAGUCUAUGGUCCAACAUAGCCUUUCGGGUCCCGUUUUCGCGCCCUAUGCGCACGAAGCACCCGAAUGCUCCCGAACUUCGCCGGAAUGAUUCCAACGGCUUUCUAAGCUAACAUACAUCGUAACUUCAUGAAUUAGAAGUUCGGUAUAUUACAUAAUAUGUGCAUGUUAUGUAUAAAGUAAUUGGAUCUCUAUGUAGUAGAGAACUGUUCAUAUUUGGAACCUUGCAUAUGGUUAGCAUUCUUACAUUUGAUUGAGAUCACGUUGCAUGUAGUGCAUAUGACAUGUAGAUUACACUCUUGGACUUAGAACGCAUGCUUGGCUUGGUUGGACAUGUGGUUAUUGAGUGACAUAGGCUAGAGUGUAUGUAAAUUGUAAGCUAAUGUCAUAAAGCGGCAUUAGGCUUGGACUAGAGAUGGAUUUAGUAAGCUAAUGUCAUAAAGCGGCAUUAAGCUUCGAAUGGUUUUGGACAUAGUGAGAUGAUGCCAUAAAGAGGCAUUGGACAUAGUGAACUUAGUAAACCUUCACUUGAGGCAUAGACUAGACCUAUGGGUUGCUAGUGAGUAUUUCCAUGUUUUAGACAUGAUGACAUAGUGACAAGCCACUGAGACAUAUGCUAUAUUCCGUGUUUUAGACACGAUGACAUAGAGAUAGGCCAUUGAGAUAGUUAUUAUAUUCCGUGCGUUAGACACGAUGACAUAGAGGCAGGCCUUUGGGACAUGUGCUGUAUUUCGGGCUUUAGAUCCGAUGAAACAGUGAUGAACCACUGGGACCUGAGACGGACUUACUCGCUUGCAUGCUAUUGUGCUCAUUCGCACAUACUUGUGAGGGUCGCUCCCUACAAGUCGGCACUUCGGAGAUAGCCAUCGCGACACAUGCUCGCUCGUGCGGGAUUGGGCGCCGAAGUGGGAUGCCGUGGGGGAGGCUCAUUCCUAGAGUGGGGAUGUUGACUAUCACGGGGCCAUUAGGCACGGCACGGGCCAGACAGCCUACGGGUGGGUCUUCAGUCCAGGCAGCCUACGGGCGGGUCUUACAAGAUUGAAACUUUAAAGUAGUGAUAUGCCAUGUGGACGUUGACUAGAACAGUAAACAAUAAGUGAUAAACACUAUUUGAUUGUAUAUCAUAGUUGGAUUCAGUUGACAUUGGGAAUAGUGGUACCCUUAAUUGCCAUGAUAGUACAUACUAGAUAUGUGUUGGACUUUGGGACAUAUAAUAUACUUCGUAGUAUUACCUGUUGCAUCAUAAUAUACUUAGUAGCCAUGAUAGAACAUAAUUGUUAUGCAUUGGCAUAUUUGGAUCAUAUAGAGUAGAUGUACUCCAUUAUUGAUAUCCCGAUUACUUAUGGCAUAGUAGAAUGGCAUUUUACUAUAUGCUUUAUUUACCGCAGUUAAUUUCUGUUAUUCAUAUCUGCUUUUGAUUUGGGCCUAGUGGUGCAGUUGGUGCAUGUCAAUAAUUGUAAAACACUGGACCUUUGCAAAUUGCGAGGUCCGAGUGGUUGGUUGUGUGCUGAGCAAUUCCAGACUUUCUGGUGGGUCGUUGACAGUGUUCCGACCUAUGGCUCGCAUCCCGAGGAUGCCAGAAUUCGCUUUUUGCGAUGACGAUUAGCUCCUCUCGAGCUAGGCAGUUGAUUAGUAGAGGCUGCGUAGCCUAUUUGGCUACUGUCGUGUUGCGGGGCGAUGCGGACGCCCCUAGGAUUGAGGAUAUCCCCGUAGUGCGGGAGUUUGGAGAUGUGUUUCCAGCGGAGCUUCCAGGCAUGCCUCCUGACAGGGAGAUUGAGUUUGUGGUAGAUCUCGUUCCCGCGACUAUCCCGAUCUCAAAGGCACCCUAUAGGAUGGCACCAAUAGAAUUGAAGGAGCUGAAGGCACAAUUGCAGGAUCUUCUGGAUAAGGGUUUUGUGCGACCGAGUGUGUCACCUUGGGGAGCACCAGUUUUGUUUGUAAAGAAGAAGGAUGGAUCACUUCGCUUAUGUGUGCACUAUCGUGAACUUAAUAAAGUCACGAUCAAGAACAAGUAUCCAUUGCCAAGGAUUGACGAUCUAUUUGAUCAGCUCCAGGAAUCUUCUGUAUAUUCCAAGAUUGACUUGCAGUUGGGAUAUCACCAGUUGAGGAUCAAACCUGAGGAUGUGUCGAAGACGGCUUUUAGAACACGGUAUGGACACUAUGAGUUUACUGUUAUGCCGUUUGGGCUCACUAAUGCCCCGGCAGCUUUUAUGGAUCUAAUGAACCGUGUUUUCAAGCCUUAUUUAGACAGUUUGUCGUGGUGUUCAUCGACGAUAUUUUGGUCUAUUCCUGAAGUGAUGCGGAUCACGAGGAACACUUGAGACUUGUACUUCAAGUGCUUCGAGAAAAGAAACUCUAUGCUAAGUUGAAAAAGUGUGAAUUUUGGCUUAGAGAGGUGGCGUUUUUGGGCCAUUUGAUUUCUGGAUCAGGCAUAGCCGUGGACCCGAGAAAAAUUGAAGCUAUCAAGGAUUGGCCGAGGCCGACGAGUGUGACCGAGAUACGGAGCUUCAUUUGUUUGGCCGGCUAUUACCCGACGGUUCGUCGAGGGAUUUGCAAAGUUAUCUACUCCCCUCACGAGACUGACGCAUAAGGGCACCAAGUUUAUUUGGAAUGAUGCGUGUGAAAAAAGCUUCCAAGAGUUGAAGCAGCGAUUGACGACCGCCCCGAUCCUAACCUUGCCGACUGCUGGAGAAGGGUAUGUAAUUUAUAGUGAUGCUUCCUUUAAUGGAUUUGGUUGUGUCUUAAUGCAGGACGGGAAAGUGAUCGCGUAUGCAUCUCGCCAAUUGAAGGAUUAUGAAAGGAAUUACCCUACUCACGACUUGGAGUUGGCGACCAUGGUCUUUGCAUUGAAGCUAUGGCGCCACUACUUAUACGGCGAGCGAUGCGAAGUAUAUACGGAUCACAAAAGCUUAAAGUAUCUAUUCACUCAGAAGGAGUUGAACUUGAGGCAGCGCAGAUGGUUGGAGCUACUCAAGGAUUAUGAUUUGACGAUACUUUACCACCCGGGCAAGGCUAACGUGGUGGCGGAUGCGCUAAGUAGGAAAUCGACGGAAAACUUAGCGAUGCUUGUGGUUACUCAACCGCCGUUGAUCGAGCAGAUGAAGCGGUUGGAGUUGGAGGUGGUGGCUCCUGAUACACCUUUGAGACUGAUGACUUUGGUGGUGCAACCUACACUUUUGGAAAGGAUUAAAGAAAAGCAAGCUUCCGACUCGGAGUUGCAAAAGAUUCGAGCUAAGAUGGUUGAUGGUUGCACCGGUGACUUCACUUUAGACGGUGAUGGAUUGAUGCGUUUCCGCGGACGACUUUGUGUACCGGCGGACUUGGGCAUUAAAGAGGAUAUUCUUCAAGAAGCACACCGAGCACCGUAUGCUAUACAUCCGGGAGGCACCAAGAUGUACAAGAAUUUGAAAUUACUUUAUUGGUGGCCCGGGAUGAAAAAGAAUGUUGGUGAAUAUGUUGCAAGAUGCUUAACUUGCUAGCAGGUGAAGGCCGAGCACCGAGUUCCUGCAGGAAAGUUGCAGAGCCUAUCGAUUUCAGUGUGGAAAUGGGAGAAGAUCACUAUGGAUUUCGUGAUGGGAUUGCGGCGCUCACAGGCCGGGCAUGAUGCAAUUUGGGCGAUCGUGGAUUGAUUGACGAAAUCAGCACAUUUCAUACCUAUCCACACUACUUGGACUGGUGAGAGAUUCGCACAGGUUUAUUUGGAUGAGAUUGUGCGACUGCACGGGGUACCUACUUCAAUAGUAUCGGAUCGAGACCCCCUUUUUUUGUCUCACUUUUGGAGGAGCUUACAGGACGCUUUGGGUAGGCGCUUGGAUUUCAGCACUGCUUUCCACCACUAGAGUGACGGGCAGUCGGAGCGUACUAUACAGACUCUCGAGGACAUGCUUCGAGCUUGCGUGAUUGACUUCCAGGGAGGAUGGUCGCAGCAUCUACCAAUGGCAGAGUUUGCUUAUAACAACAGUUAUCAAGCAAGUAUUAAGAUGGCACCAUUUGAGGCAUUUUAUGGUCGGAAGUGUAGAUCGCCUUUUCAUUAAAGCGAAGUUGGCGAAAGAUUGGCUUUAGGCCCUGAUGUGCUUCAGGAAGUAGAGGAUAAGGUUCGCAUUGCUCGGGAGCGAUUGUUGACGGCCCAGAGUAGGCAAAGGAGUUAUGCUGAUCGGCGUCGACGAGACUUGGAGUUUCAGAUUAGAGAUCACGUUUUCUUGAAAGUCUCGCCGACCCGAGGGAUUAGAAGAUUUAGAAUCAGGGGUAAGUUGAGCCCUCGAUACAAUGGACCGUAUGAGGUUUUGGAGCGUGUAGGCCCGGUAGCAUAUAGACUUGCCCUACCGACGAACCUAUCGGGUGUACAUAAUAUAUUCCUUGUAUCGGUCCUUCGGAAGUACAUCCACGAUCCGGCUCAUGUUUUGGACGCUACGCCUUUGGAGCUGAGGGAGGACUUGAGCUUUGAGGAGCAGCCUUUAAGGAUUUUGGCUCGCGAAGUAAAAAGAUUGCGGAAUCGUGAGAUUCUCUACGUGAAGGUGUUUUGGAGCAACCACGACGAGCGCGAGGCCACUUAGGAGUUGGAGAGCGUGCUGCGAGAACGCUAUCCCCAUCUUUUUCAGAUGGAGGCUUGAGGUAUCUUUACUUUUCGAGUUUCGCGGACGAAACUCCUUUUUAGGAGGGGUGAAUGUAAAACACUGGACCUUUGCAAAUUGCGAGGUUCGAGUGGUUGGUUGUGUGCUGAGUAAUUCCAGACUUUCUGGUGGGUCGUUGACAGUGUUCCGACCUGUGGCUCGCAUCCCGAGAAGUGAGGUUUAAAGACUAGCACAAAAAUCCGAAAAAUCGGAUUGUUGGUCAGCUCUCGGGUAGCCUUCAGUAGGGCUUGUACCGGUACAAGGCUGAUGGUUGUACCGGUACAAGGCUGGUGGUUGUUCCGGUAUAGGGGGCUUGUACCGGUACAGAGCCGCAGAACCCGCCAACCCGAGCCUCGGGUUGUGAUUGUCGUGGGGCUUGUACCGGUACAGGGGCCCGUGUACCUGUACAAGGUGGCAGAAUUUGAGUAGUUUGAACUGCAGGGGUGUUUUUGUGAUUGUGGGUCCCUUAUAUCAGCACCCACGCCUCUAGGGCCCCCCUUUGAGCUCUCCACUGCAGGGAGAAAGGUAGGGCACCUCUCCCCUUCACCCCAUUUGGAUUUGAUCUCUUUCUAGCUUGGGAUUUAAGUGUUGAUCCUUCUCUUUUCCCUUUUCUUUGCUUUUCCACCAUUUUGAUGCUUGGAGCUUGGUCUUGAUGGAUUGUUGAGGGAAGAUCUUGGGAUUUCAAGAGUUUAGAGCUUUGAUUGAAGCUUUUAAGAGGUAAUCCACUUAUUCUCUCCCUCUAGAUUGGAUUUUAUUGAUGGUUUUGAGAUGAAACCCUAGAAUGAGAUUUUAGGGCUUAUUUUGGGCGUUUUGAUUCUAGGGCUUUUGGGGCUAAAUUAUUUGGAUUAGAGCACUCCUUUGGGUCGGGUUGGAAUGAUCUUAGCCUUCUUUUGGAGCUUGUGAGAGUUUUUCUCCACCCUAGGUGAGAUUUUAGCCCUUUUGCCUUAUUGGUUAAUGUUUGAUCUUAUAGAUGAUCGUAAUGCCCGUGUAUCUCUUCGCUCAAUACUUUUAGGGUGAUUUGAGACUCGUGGACAACUUCGUUCGGCGAGACGAGGCACUACACGACGGUUCGGUGGGUUUGACCUAGCCACACAAUGAGAAAUUCUCAUUUGUGAUGAAUUAAGUAUCGUUAAUUGAAAAAGCAUGCAUAUUCUUGUUAUAUGCAUUUAUUGUGAAUUUUAGAAUGCUUAAAAUGCCUAUGUUACAUAUGAUGAAAUUUUUAGUGUGGAUUUGAGUUUGUGUAUGGAUCUCGUCCCGGGACACCCGAUCUCAAAAGACCCUAUAGGAUGGCACCAGCAGAAUUGAAGGAGCUGAAGGCACAGUUGCAGGAUCUUCUCGAUAAAGGUUUUGUGCGCGAGUGUUGUCACCAUGGGGAGCACCAGUUUUGUUUGUAAAGAAGAAUGAUGGAUCACUUCGCUUAUGUGUGGACUAUCGUGAACUUAAUAAAGUCACGAUCAAGAACAAGUAUCCAUUGCGAGAAUCGACGAUCUAUUUGAUCAGCUACAGGAUCUUGUAAUAUAUUCCAAGAUUGACUUGCAGUCGGGAUAUCACCAGUUGAGGAUCAGACCUGAGAUGUGUCGAAGACGGCUUUAGAACAUGUAUGGACACUAUGAGUUUACUGUUAUGCCGUUUGGCUCACUAAUGCCGCUUAGAGAGGUGGCGUUUUGGGCCAUUUGAUUUCUGGAUCAGGAAUAGCCGUGGCCCGAGAAAAAUGAAGCUAUCAGGAUUGGCCGAGGCGACGAGUGACCGAGAUACGGAGCUUCAUUGGUUUGCCGGCUAUUACCGACGGUUCGUCGAGAGAUUUGCAAAGUUAUCUACUCCUCACGAGACUGACGCAUAAGGGCACCAAGUUUAUUUUGGAAUUGAUGCGUGUUGAAAGAGCUUCCAAGAGUGAAGCAGCGAUUGUCGACCGCCCCGAUCCUAACCUUUCGACUGCUGGAGCAGGUAUGUGAUUUAUAGUGAUGCUUCCUUUAAUGGAUUGGGCUGUCUUAUGCAGACCGGAAAGUGAUCGCGUAUGCAUCUCGCCAAUUGAAGGAUUAUGAAAGGAAUUACCCUACUCACGACUUGGAGUUGGCGGCCGUGGUCUUUGCAUUGAAGCAUAUGGCGCCACUACUUAUAUGGCGAGCGAGCGAAGUAUAUCGGAUCACAAAAGCUUAAAGUAUCUAUUCAUUCAGAAGGGGUUGAACUUGUGGCAGCGCAGAUGGUUGGAGCCUACUCAAGGAUUAUAUUGACUGAUACUACCACCCGGGCAAGGCUAACGUGAUGGCUGAUGCGCUAAGUAGCGAAAUUGACGAAAAACUUAGCGAUGCUGUGUAUACUCAACCGCCGUUGAUCAAGCAGAUGAAACGGUUGGAGUUGGAGGUGGUGGCCCUGAUACACCUUUGAGACUGAUGACUUUGGGUGCAACCUACACUUUUGGAAAAGAUUAAAGAAAAACAACUUCCGACUCGGAGUUGCAAAAGAUUCGAGCUAAGAAUGGUUGAUGGUUGCACCGCGUGUACUUCACUUAGACUGUGUAUGGAUUGAUGCGUUUCCGCGACGACUUUGGUGUCCGGCGCGACGUUCGGGCAUUNNNNNNNNNNNNNNNNNNNNNNNNNUUGUUUGAUACCGGUGCAUCGCAUUCAUUCAUUGAUCGGCUGUUUGCCGAGCUGCAUGGCAUCCCACUUGUAUCCUUGUUGCACCCGGGACGAGUUGUUGUACCCGAUCAUUCCUUGGACAUUCGGGAGUUUUGCCCCAGCUGCCCUAUUCGGGUUGGAGAUUGGAUCAUGCCCAUAGACAUGCUAGCCUUGCAUAAACUCGGGGAGUUUGAGGUUGUGUUGGGCAUGGAUUGGUUGACUAAGUAUUUCGCCACUAUCGAUUGUAAAGAUCGAACGGUGACUUUUAGAGAGCCAGGGCAGGCGGAGGUUGUGUACCGAGGAUGCCAGAGUUCGCUGUUUGCGAUGACGAUUAGCUCCUCUCGAGCUAGGCAGUUGAUUAGUAGAGGCUGCGUAGCCUAUUUGGCUAGUGUCGUGUUGCGGGGCGAUGCGGACGCCCCUAGGAUUGAGGAUAUCCCCGUAGUGCGGGAGUUUGGAGAUGUGUUUCCAGCGGAGCUUCCAGGCAUGCCUCCUGACAGGGAGAUUGAGUUUGUGGUAGAUCUCGUUCCCGCGACUAUCCCGAUCUCAAAGGCACCCUAUAGGAUGGCACCAAUAGAAUUGAAGGAGCUGAAGGCACAAUUGCAGGAUCUUCUGGAUAAGGGUUUUGUGCGACCGAGUGUGUCACCUUGGGGAGCACCAGUUUUGUUUGUAAAGAAGAAGGAUGGAUCACUUCGCUUAUGUGUGCACUAUCGUGAACUUAAUAAAGUCACGAUCAAGAACAAGUAUCCAUUGCCAAGGAUUGACGAUCUAUUUGAUCAGCUCCAGGAAUCUUCUGUAUAUUCCAAGAUUGACUUGCAGUUGGGAUAUCACCAGUUGAGGAUCAAACCUGAGGAUGUGUCGAAGACGGCUUUUAGAACACGGUAUGGACACUAUGAGUUUACUGUUAUGCCGUUUGGGCUCACUAAUGCCCCGGCAGCUUUUAUGGAUCUAAUGAACCGUGUUUUCAAGCCUUAUUUAGACAGUUUGUCGUGGUGUUCAUCGACGAUAUUUUGGUCUAUUCCUGAAGUGAUGCGGAUCACGAGGAACACUUGAGACUUGUACUUCAAGUGCUUCGAGAAAAGAAACUCUAUGCUAAGUUGAAAAAGUGUGAAUUUUGGCUUAGAGAGGUGGCGUUUUUGGGCCAUUUGAUUUCUGGAUCAGGCAUAGCCGUGGACCCGAGAAAAAUUGAAGCUAUCAAGGAUUGGCCGAGGCCGACGAGUGUGACCGAGAUACGGAGCUUCAUUUGUUUGGCCGGCUAUUACCCGACGGUUCGUCGAGGGAUUUGCAAAGUUAUCUACUCCCCUCACGAGACUGACGCAUAAGGGCACCAAGUUUAUUUGGAAUGAUGCGUGUGAAAAAAGCUUCCAAGAGUUGAAGCAGCGAUUGACGACCGCCCCGAUCCUAACCUUGCCGACUGCUGGAGAAGGGUAUGUAAUUUAUAGUGAUGCUUCCUUUAAUGGAUUUGGUUGUGUCUUAAUGCAGGACGGGAAAGUGAUCGCGUAUGCAUCUCGCCAAUUGAAGGAUUAUGAAAGGAAUUACCCUACUCACGACUUGGAGUUGGCGACCAUGGUCUUUGCAUUGAAGCUAUGGCGCCACUACUUAUACGGCGAGCGAUGCGAAGUAUAUACGGAUCACAAAAGCUUAAAGUAUCUAUUCAUUCAGAAGGAGUUGAACUUGAGGCAGCGCAGAUGGUUGGAGCGACUCAAGGAUUAUGAUUUGACGAUACUUUACCUCCCGGGCAAGGCUAACGUGGUGGCUGAUGCGCUAAGUAGGAAAUCGACGGAAAACUUAGCGAUGCUUGUGGUUACUCAACCGCCGUUGAUCGAGCAGAUGAAGUGGUUGGAGUUGGAGGUGGUGGCUCCUGAUACACCUUUGAGACUGAUGACUUUGGUGGUGCAACUUACACUUUUGGAAAAGAUUAAAGAAAAGCAAGCUUCCGACUCGGAGUUGCAAAAGAUUCGAGCUAAGAUGGUUGAUGGUUGCACCGGUGACUUCACUUUAGACGGUGAUGGAUUGAUGCGUUUUCGCGGACGACUUUGUGUACCGGCGGACUUGGGCAUUAAAGAGGAUAUUCUUCAAGAAGCACACCGAGCACCGUAUGCUAUACAUCCGGGAGGCACCAAGAUGUACAAGAAUUUGAAAUUACUUUAUUGGUGGCCCGGGAUGAAAAAGAAUGUUGGUGAAUUUGUUGCCAGAUGCUUAACUUGCCAGCAGGUGAAGGCCGAGAACCGAGUUCCUGCGGGAAAGUUGCAGAGCCUAUCGAUUUCAGUGUGGAAAUAGGAGAAGAUCACCAUGGAUUUCGUGAUCGGAUUGCCGCGCUCACAGGCCGGGCAUGAUGCAAUUUGGGCGAUCGUGGAUAGAAUGACGAAAUCAGCACAUUUCAUACCUAUCCACACUACUUGGAUUGGUGAGAGAUUCGCACAGGUUUAUUUGGAUGAGAUUGUGCGACUGCACGGGGUACCUACUUCUAUAGUAUCGGAUCGAGACCCCCGUUUUUUGUCCCACUUUUGGAGGAGCUUACAAGACGCUUUGGGUAGGCGCUUGGAUUUCAGCACUGCUUUCCACCCCUAGAGUGACGGGCAGUUUGAGCGUACUAUACAGACUCUCGAGGACAUGCUUCGAGCUUGCGUGCUUGACUUCCAGGGAGGAUGGUCGCAGCAUCUACCAAUGGCAGAGUUUGCUUAUAACAGCAGUUAUCAAGCAAGUAUCAAGAUGGCACCAUUCGAGGCACUUUAUGGUCGGAAAUGUAGAUCGCCUCUUCAUUGGAGCGAAGUUGGCGAAAGAUUGGCUUUAGGCCCUGAUGUGCUUCAGGAAGCAGAGGACAAGGUUCGCAUUGCUUGGGAGCGAUUGUUGACGGCCCAGAGUAGGCAGAGGAGUUAUGCUGAUCGGCGUCGACGAGACUUGGAGUUUCAGAUUGGAGAUCACGUCUUCUUGAAAGUCUCGCCGACCCGAGGGAUUAGAAGAUUUAAAAUCCGGGAUAAGUUGAGCCCCCGAUACAUUGGACCGUAUGAGGUUUUGGAGCGUGUAGGCCCGGUAGCAUAUAGACUUGCCCUACCGCCGAACCUAUCGGGUGUACACAAUGUAUUCCAUGUAUCGGUCCUUCGGAAGUACAUCCACGACCCGGCUCAUGUUUUGGACGCUACGCCUUUGGAGCUGAGGGAGGACUUGAGCUUUGAGGAGCAACCUUUAAGGAUUUUGGCUCGCGAAGUAAAAAGAUUGCGGAACCGUGAGAUUCCCUACGUGAAGAUACUUUGGAGCAACCACGACGAGCGCGAGGCCACUUGGGAGUUGGAGAGCGUGCUGCGAGAGCGCUAUCCCCAUCUUUUUCAGAUGGAGGCUUGAGGUAUCUUUACUUUUCGAGUUACGCGGACGAAACUCCUUUUUAGGAGGGGUGAAUGUAACACACUGGACCUUUGCAAAUUGCGAGGUCCGAGUGGUUGGUUGUGUGUUGAGUAAUUCCAGACUUUCUGGUGGGUCGUUGACAGUGUUCCGACCUAUGGCUCGCAUCCCGAGAAGUGAGGUUUAAAGCCUAGCACAAAAAUUCGAAAAAUGAAUUUUUGGUCAGCUCUCGGGUAGCCUUCAGUAGGGCUUGUACCGGUACAAGGCUGAUGGUUGUACCGGUACAAGGCUGGUGGUUGUACCGGUAUAGGGGGCUUGUACAGGUACAGAGCCGCAGAACCCGCCAACCAGAGCCUCGGGUUGUGAUUUUCGUGGGGCUUGUACCUGUACAGGGGCCCGUGUACCAGUACAAGGUGGCAGAAUUUGAGUAGUUUGAACUGCAGGGGUGUUUUUGCGAUUGUGGGUCCCUUAUAUCAGCACCCACGCCUCUAGGGCCCUCCUUUGAGCUCUCCACUGCAGGGAGAAAGGUAGGGUACCUCUCCCAUUCACCCCCUUUGGAUUUGAUCUCUUUUUAGCUUGGGAUUUAAGUGUUGAUCCUUCUCUUUUCCCUUUUCUUUGCUUUACCACCAUUGUGAAGCUUGGAGCUUGGAGCUUGGUCUUGGUGGAUUGUUGAGGGAAGAUCUUGGAAUUUCAAGAGUUUAGAGCUUUGAUUGAAGCUUUUAAGAGGUAAUCCACUUAUUCUUUCCCUCUAAAUUGGAUUUUAUUGAUGGUUUUGAGAUGAAACCCUAGAAUGAGGUUUUAGGGCUUAUUUUGGGCGUUUUGAUUCUAGGGCUUUUGGGGCUAAAUUAUUUGGAUUAGAGCACUCCUUUGGGUCGGGUUGGAAGGAUCUUAGCCUUCUUUUGGAGCUUGUGAGAGUUUUUCUCCACCCUAGGUAAGAUUUUAGCCCUUUUGCCCUGUUGGUUAAUGUUUGAUCUUAUAGUUGAUCGUAAUGCCCGUGUAUCUCUUCGCUCAAUACUUUUAGGAUGAUUUGAGACUCGUGGACAACUUCGUUCGGUGAGACGAGGCACUACGCGACGGUUCGGUGGGUUUGACCUAGCCACACAAUGAGAAAUUCUUAUUUGUGAUGAAUUAAGUAUCGUUAAUUGAAAACGCAUGCAUAUUCUUAUUAUAUGUAUUUAUUGUGAAUUUUAGAAUGCUUAAAAUGCCUAUGUUACAUAUGAUGAAAUUUUUGACCUCUAUGUAGUAGAGAGUUGCUUGGGAGAUCUAUGGUUGCAUUUAGCAUUCUAUAUGAGACUUGUUUUCAUGCUUCUAUAGUGUAAAUGAGCUUGGAUUCAUCCAUUUAAACCUAUGUUUAUUUGAGACAUGAAAGAUGACAAAAUUGCCAUAUAGAGGUAUCGAACUAGAAUGCAUGUGAAUUGGUGAGCUAAUGUCAUUAAGUGGUAUUGAGCUCGGAUUAUGUGUGAACCUAGUGGUUAAAGCCAUUGCGGGAUUUGGUUAAUGUUGAACAUUAAAUUGCCUAAGUGUCAUCAACGGGCACUAGGCAUAGUGAGUGUUUGGAACUUCGCUUUGUGACUUAACUAGAUCUUCGGGAUGCCAGUGACGAUACCAUGUUAGAGACAUGAGGUUUGGAUACUUGAGACUUGGACUAUGCUUGCUUGCCAUUUGUGCUCAUUCGCACAUGCUUGUGAGGGUCGCUCCCUACAAGCCGGCACUCCGGAGUUAGCCUACGCGACAUAUGUUCGCUCGUGCGGUAUUGAGAAGCCUACGGGGUCGAGUGGGACAGACACAUUCCAAGAGUAGGAAUGUUGUGCUACCAAGGCACUUAGGCGGCACAAGCUCGACUACCUUUGGUAGGUCUUUAAUUGGAAAUAAAAAUCGACACGGUGUUGAGUUUCUUAUAAUCACUACUAGAUAGAGAAUAGUAGUUGGAUUACUUGGACUUGCUUCUAGCAUAGUUUUGGGUACUUGGAUAUACAUACAUACAUGUAGCAUGCUAGGAGAUGUUGCCUAUCGCAUUCAUAUAUACAUUGUUGCCAUGAUAAAGCAUGAUCUUCAUAAUUUCAUAAAGAAAAUAAUGAUUAUUACUUGUGGUCAUGUCAGGACGUACUUGUUCAUAAUGAAAUAGGUGUACAUCAUAGUGGUGCAUUGAGCUGAGGUCAGUAAUUGCCCACUGGGAACUAUAAAUUAUAGUUCUCACGCCCUCUGUUUUAUAUUUUCUUUCAGAGCCUUCCACGCUGGGAGAGGCUAGGGACCGAGAGAAGGGAGUUGCUUCGAGCUAGCUUCCUUCGAGGGCGAUUUGAUAGGUGGUCUACCUCUCGUGGUUUUAUUUUGUGAGAGGUUGUGAGUUGUACCCAUAUAUGUAUAGAGACCACCCUUCUUUUGGAUCUUUGUAUUCCUUUUGAGGAGAUAGCAUUGUAUCACUUUGUGCCUUACUUUCAUUGUCUAGUUAUGUUUCUUUUACUCUGGUUUAGAUGAUAGAACUUUACUCGCUCUGAUAUCAUUAGUUGUUAUUAUUCUAUUUGUUCUAUUUCUUACUUUUACUUCCGCUUUUAUUGUAGACGCCUUAUAUAUGUAGACAUAUGGCGGGUCUGGGCACGCUACCGGGAGGGCCUCCGCCGGUCCCGCGGUGUGACAGUAAUUGCCCACUGGGAACUAUAAAUUAUAGUUCUCAUGCCCCCUGUUUUAUAUUUUCUUUCAGAGCCUUCCACUCCGGAAGAGGCUCGGGAUCGCGGGACAGGUUUCGUCUCGAGUUAGCUUUCGAGGGACUUGGCGAUAGGUGGUCCACCUCUCUUUUAUUUUCUUUUGGAGAGGUUGUGAGAGUUUUGUACUUGGUUAUAGAGACCACCCUUUUUUUGUAUCUUGAGAUUUAUGAUGUAUUAAUUUACUUUAUGUUUUAGUGGUUCAGUUCUCUUUUUGACUUUACUUGUCGAUAGAACCUAGUUGUGUAUUUGCUCUGAUAUCUCUAGAUACUUUCAACUUCUUGUUCAUUUUUUCGUUUGGUUCUAGACGCCUUAUAUGUGCAGGCAUAUGACGGGUCUGGGCACGCACCGGGCGGGCCUACGCCGGGUCCCGGGGCGUGACAGAUUAAUUUGGUAUCAGAGCCUAGGGUUGAGUCUUAGUAGACCUAGUGAACCUUAGGCCGGUCGGACAAUAGGAAUUAGACUCGUGAGAGACGGGGUCUAUUUGAUUUGUAAGUGAAAGUAUCAUGAUUGGGUUUCUUUGAUAGCUCCAAAAAGUUGGAGUUCGAUUGAAAUGUAUGAACUUCGCGGAGGGUUACGUUUACGGCCGACAACGUAACAUCGGGAGUUACUAGUAUAAGACACUUCCUUACUUUUGCAUGAUUUGGGCAUUGGUAUGUGACGCCCCAACUUCCCAGGGGGUCACCCAUCCUAGGACUACUCCCGUCCUAGCACGCUUAACUCUCUUAACCUUUUGGACUGUCACGCCCCGGGGCCCAGCGGAAGCCCGCCCGGCGCGUGUCCAGACCCGCCGUACGUCUAAAACAUACAAGGUGUAAAAAAAAUAAAGCGGUAACUAAACCAAUAAAAGAAAGCAUCAAGGAGUAUCAGAGCAAAGUACUACAAAGUGCUAUAACAAGGAGAAGAACAUGAAGCUGAAAAUCCACUAAGUAAAACAUAAGGUAAUACAAAAGGAGUCCCAUAACAAGUACUAGUCUGAAAACAAGGUGGUCUCUCUAUACAUGGUGCAAAAUCUCUCAUUGUCUCUACACAAACAAAAAAGGAGUAACCUCCUAAAGCAGAACGGACUCUCUCUCUGAGCUAACUAUGCGACACCCUUGCCACGAUCCCGUGCCUCCACUGGUACCGAAGGCUCUGAAAAGGAAAUAUAGAAACAGGGGUGUGAGAACUAUUAAAUAAUAGUUCCCAGUGGGCAAUUACUGACUUCAGUGAAUGUGCCACUAGGCCCAAAAGGCUACAACAAAAGGGUCAGUGUAUAAGCAUAAGCAAAAGCGAUAAAUACAACGGUUAAGUAAAGAUGAUUAUUGCUCAACCAUGAUGUCUCUACUUAGCAUGAUAUGCAUAAGUACUAAAACGACUACCACAGGUAUGUAUAUGAGAGUAACAAUAUGUAAAUGCAUGAGUAUGUAACUAUCCCAAUAUCCGCAAUGUAAAUAGCAAUAAUGUCAAUGUUCACUAUUCUAGUCAAUGUCCACUUGUCACUUUACUGAGUAAAGUUCAACUCUGAUAAGACCCACCCGAAGGCUGUCUGGCAUAAGACCCACCCGAAGGCUGUCUGGCAUAAGACCCACCCGAAGGCUGUCUGGCUUUACCGUGCCUAAUGGCCCCGUGGUAGUCACAUCCCCACCCUAGGAAUAAGCCUUUCCCAUGGCAAUCCACUUCGGCGCCCAAUCCCGCACGGCGAACGUAUCGCGAUGGCCAACUCCGGAGUGCCGGCUUGUAGGGAGCGACCCUCAUAAGCAUGUACGAAUGAGCACAAUGGCAAGCAUGCGUAUAAGUCUGUCUGAAGUACCAAGUCCUCAUGUCUAAAACAUGGAAUAUAUCGAAUGCCACAAAGGCCUAUCACUAUGUUGUCGUGUCUCUAACAUGGAAUAUAGUCGAUGUCCAAUGGCCUAUCACUAUAUCUCUAUGUUGCAUUUUCAUAGUUUACUAGUUCCAAGUGCCCCUUUAUGACACUAUUGUUCAAUGAGUCCAAGCAUGGUAUUUAUGUGCAUGAAUUCAUAAUUCUACUCAUUUCAAACAUAGGAGACAUGUUCUCAACUUGCAAGGCUAACCACCUUUCACAAUGCAUGCAGUCUACACAUAUAGCUCUAAUAUAUAGAGUGCAAAUUUCAUGAUACAUAAGGCAUGCAUUUUAAGUGUUCUAAAAUUCACAUAAAUUAUGUUUAACAUGGAUUUGCUCUCAAAAAGACUUUACGAAGAGUUUAGAAAGUAUAGGGGCCAUUUUGCCCCGUUUUCAUGAAGUCAAACCCACCACAACACUCGCGAUCCUUCGUAAGCUCCGACGAAGGUGUUCACUAGUCUCCUAUCACCCUAAAGAUGUAGGAACAAAGGUCAAGUGGACCAUACGAACAAUACAAGGCUCAAUCAAAAGUAACCUAGGCUAAGGUGGAGGAAACUCACCUCAAGGGAAGAAAUCCUCACUCAAACUCCAAAUGGGGGCAAGAACCCUUCCAAUUCAACCUAAAGGAAGGUUCUAAACCAAUCAAUAAGGUCCCAAAGCUCUCAAAUCAAAAAGCCCCAAAACUAACCUUAGAAUCCCAAUCUAGGGUUUCAUCUAGCAAAAAGCUUCAAAACUAGAAUCUAGAGGAGAAGAACUAGUCACAUACCUCUAGGAAGCUCCAAAUCAAGUCCAAGAUACUCAAGGGUUGAAGAUUGGUCCACCACCAAGCUUCAAAAGCAAGCUCCAAGUCCCCCAAAGGUGAGAAAUGAGGAAGAAGGUGAUGCUCCAAGGCCUCCAAGCAAGAUUCUCUCCUUCUUCUUCUUCUUCCUCUCCUUCUCCCUCUCUUCUUCUCUCUCUAGAAUGGGUGUGAAGGGGAGAAAUGAGGAGGGAAGAGAGUGAAAGGGCCAUAUAGACCAUCUAGUGCAACAAAAUCCAGAAAAGCCCCUCAAAAACUCAUUCACAUCAGCCCGGUCUGGGAAGUUUUCGCCCAGAGGGACCGGUCUCCCUGACUUGGGACCGGUCUCUCAGCCUGCCCCAAAAAUCCAACGUUCGGGAACCGGUCUCUCCCUGCACGGGACCGGUCUCUCCCCGCGUAUACGCACUCAGGGACUGGUAUCGCCUGCUAGGGACCGGUUGCCUCGCCAGCUGCCGCAACACUAAGCUGAGGGGACCGGUCUCUCAUAUCAGGGACCGGUCCUCGAGAGUGAAAACUCUCAGGACUUGCCAAAAUUUUAGAGAUCGAACUUUUAAGCCGGAAUACCAUCUACGGCCUUUCACCAAGUGUGGAAAAAUUUGGAGUAUACAUCAAACACUCGAACCUCGCAAUUUGUAAAGGUCCAGUGUGCUACAUGGAUCUUGCUACCACCCAAAAUGCUUAAGCCGGGUUAAGAGUUUAGCCCUAUUAUAUCUCAUAUAUAGGACUAUCUGGGGUCUCAUAAUCUUCCCUCCUUUAAGCCCUGACGUCCUCGUCAGGCUCAGACUCACAAGUACCAGGCGAUGUGAGACUCAUCUCGCUAGCCCGUCAUCUAGACCCUGGAUCAGCCGAGACUCAUCUCACACUUCCGGCUGGUAAUUGGCUCUGAUACCAUCUUGUUGUUUUCUUUUAUUGUUUCAUUUAUCGUUUUAUUUUAGACGCCUUAUAUGUUUUAGACGUAUGGCGGGUCUGGAUACGCGCCGGGCGGGCUUCCGCUGGGACCCGGGGCGUGACACGCCGCCUCCUCAGUCUAGGCCACAUACAUGCGCCCACUUAGGGCCUGUCGUGACCCCUCCGCCUGUCGCUGAACUAGCGACCGCCUAGCCUGGUGAUGCGCAGAAAGUGUCCCCUGGCUGGGACCCGGUAAAGCUGGUGUAGAUGCCAAAGAUAGCGCUGGUGCUGGACCCCUCGGGCAGUCCAACUGGAAGUGGCCCUCCUGGCCACACAAGUAGAACCUGCCCCGACUGCGUGAACACUGCCGUGGAAAAUGGGGACCACCGCAGAUCACGUAGCGCGGAGCCUGGCAUCGAUAAGGUCCUCCUCGCUGAGUAGACUGGCCACGUCCUCGCGAUUGGCUCCGGUGUCUCGGAUGUCUCGGCGGCCUCCCAGAGUGUGCCUAACUCGCACCCUUAGCCGCAGGCCUCUUGCCCUUGCCCUUGUCAAGGGCCUCUCGCCGCUCCUGCAGAUCUGCCGCGCUGCUCUCCACAAUGAGCGCACGGUUCACAACCUCUCGGUAGGUUUGGAGGUUGGAAGACUGAACAAACCGAAAGAUCGAAGGCCGCAGUCCCCGCUCGAAGAUGCGAGCCUUGUCCUCGUCAUCCCGGACAACAAAGGGCACACAAUGAAGAAGCCGGGAGAACUCUCUCUCAUACUCGGCUACCGUUCUGUCUCCCUGACGUAGAUUGCGCAAAUCCUGCUCCAUCUUCCUCUUCACACAGUCAGGAAAGUAAUGCUCCAGUAGGAGUUCCUUGAACCUCCUCCAUGAAAUCGCCGUCAGAUCCGUGCCGGGUUGACCUGGAUGUCCAACCACCAUCUGUAGGCCUCGCUGUCCAAGUGAUGUGUGGCGAGCCACACUCGAUCCCUCUCCUCGACAAAGGUGUCCCGAAACAGCUUCUCCAUAAGCAUAAGCCAUUUCUCUACUAUCCAAUGGUCCACGUUUUUCCCGACGAAGGUCCAUGGACUGCAUCUCCUGAACUCACUAAGACGCUCUAUAAGUCGAUCACGCUCUGCUCCCUCAACCAUCACGGGGAAAACUGCCCCCGCUACAGGCACCCGAGCCGGUGGUGCCGCAACGUCUCCUCCCGAGGUGCCGCCGCCAGUGCCGUCCGAGAGGUGUCGAGUGCAGGGGAUGUAACACAUUGGACCUGUGCAAAUUGCGAGGUUCGAGUGUUUGAUAUGGAUUCCGAACUUUUUCAUACUUUGUGGAAGGUCGUAGAUGGUAUUCCGACCUAAAAGUUCGAUUUCUGGAGUUUUGGCAAUGUCCUGAGAGUUUUCACACUCGGGGACCGGUCCCUGAUAGGAGAGAUCGGUCCCCUCAGAACAGUGUUGCGGCAGCCUGCGAGGCAACCGGUUCCUGGCGGAUGAGAUCCGUCCCCGAGCGCGAACACGCGGGGAGAGACCGUUCCCAUGCGGGGAGAGAUUGGUUCCCGAACGUUGAAUUUUCGGGGCAGGCUGAGAGAUCGGUCCCAGGUCGGGGAGACCGGUCCCUAAGUCCGAAAACUGUCCAGACCGAGCAGUGCACAGUGUUGAUUGUUGAGGGAAACUAAGUGAAUUUUGUUACUUGGGAUGGCUUAUAUGGUCCUUUCUCUUCCUUUCACUCUCAUUUCUCUCCCUCACACUCACACUAGAGAGAGAAAGAGAAGGAGAAGAAGAAGCAGAGGGGAAGAGCUUGCUUGAAGGCCUUAGAGCAUCAUCUUCUUCCUCUCAUCACACCUUGGAGGCUUUGAGCUCGUGGUUGAAGCUUUGUGGAGGAUCAAAUUUCAACCCUUCUUGGUUUAGAGCUUGGUUUGGAGCUUCUCUUGAGGUUGGUAACUUGUCUUCCCCAUUUAAUACAAGUUUUCUAGAUUUUGCUAGAUGAAACCCUAGUUUUGAGAUUUAGGGUUUAUUUUGGGGGUUUUUGAUUUGAGGGCUUUGAAACCUAAUUGAUGGGUUUAGAACCUUUAUUUAGGUUGGAUUUGAAGAACUCUAACUCCCAUUUGAAGCUUGAGAGAGAAUUUCUUCACUUGAGGUGAGUUUCUCCACUUUAGCUUGAGGUGGUUAAUGAUUGAGCUUAGUGUUGUUCGUAAGGUUCAUUUAACCUUUGUUCCUAUAUCUUUAGGGUGCUAGGGGACUAGCGGACACCAUUGUCGGAGCAAACGAAGGAUCGCUAGAGUUGUGGUGGGUUUGGCUUCAUGAAAACGGGGCAAAGUGGCCCCUUUCUAUACUUGUCGUAACGUCCUUUGGAAUGCAAAUCCAUGCUUGAUAGGAUUUAUGGGAAUUUUAGAACACUUAAAAUGCAUGUCUUAUAUAUUAUGAAAAUUUCACUCUAUAUAGUAGGGCAUUCUGAGCAUUUUUGCAUGCAUAUGAGAAGUGUUCGUGUUAGCGACUUGAAAACAUGUCUCUUAUUUUAGAAUUUGCUCAAAUUAUGCAUUUGUAAACAAUAAACUCAUGUUUGGACUUAGUGGACAAAAAUGCCAUAAAGAGGCACUUGACAUAGUAAACUGUAAAACUGCAACAUAGAGACAUAGUGAUAGGCUAUUGAACAUCUGCUAUAUUCUAUGUUAGAGACAUGAUGACAUAGAGAUAGGCUUUUGAGACAUUCGACGUAUAUUCCAUGUUUUUAGACAUGAGGACUUGGUACUUGAGACAGAUCUUUCGCUUGUUUGUCAUUGUGCUCAUUCGCACAUACUUGUGAGGGUCGCUCCCUACAAGCCGGCACUCCGGAGAUAGCCAUCGCGACAUAUGCUCGCUCGUGCGGGAUUGGGCGCCGAAAUGGGAUGCCCUGGGGGAGGCUCAUUCGUAGAGUGGGGAUGUUGACUACCACGGGGCCAUUAGGCACGGCGCAGGCCGGACUACCCACGGGUAGGUCCUACAGGAUUGGAUCAUUGAUGACUUAGCAUACCGACUGGACAUUGACUAGAAUAGUAAACAAGACAUUUUACUAUUUAGCUUGUGGACAUCAUGCUAGUGAUACUUUGGUAUAUUCAUGUUAGAAUAGUCUUUUAUUACUUAUGCAAAUUCAUGCUAAGUGGAGAUAUCAUGUUGUAGUAAGUUUACAUGUUUACUUACAUAUCGAUUCUAUUGCUUUUAUUGUUACUUAUCUGUUUAGCUCUUUUGGGCCUAGUGGUGCUUUCACUGAAGUCAGUAAUUGCCCACUGGAAACUAUUAUUUAAUAGUUCUCACGCCUCCUGUUUUAUGGUUUUUCUUUUAGAGCCCUCUGUACCGGCGGAGGUACAGGAUCGCGGCAAGGGGAUCGCUGGCUAGAUAGCGAGGAUUUACUGUUGCUUAGGUGGUUUUCUCUCUUUUUGUUGUUGUUGAGAGAGAGAGAGAGUAAUGUUUUGUAUCCAUGUAUAGAGACCACCUAUGUAUUUACUUAUAGCACUUGUUUUGGGAUUUCUAUUCUACUACCUUCGAUUUACUUAUGGUGGAUGUUAGCUCAUUUACUUGUUUCCUCUUAUAGAAUCUCGAUACUGUACUAUGCUCUGAUACUCCUAGAUGUCUUUUAUUAUUGCUUUAUUUACCGUUGUUUCUAGACGCCUUAUAUGUUUUAGACGUAUGGCGGGUCUGGAUACGUGCCGGGCGGGCUUCCGCUGGGUCCCGGGGCGUGACAGAUUAGUUUGGUAUAAGAGCCUAGGGUUGAGUCUUAGUGGACCUAGCAAACCUUAGGCCGGUUGGACUAUAGGAAGUAGGCUCGUGAGAGACGAGGUCUAUUUGACUUGUGAGCGAAAGCAUCAUGAUUGGGUACCUCGAUAACUCUAAAAAGUUAGAGUUAAAUCGAAGUGUAUGGCUCCUAACUUCGCGGAGGGUUACGUUGGCGGCCGACAACGUAAUAUCGGGAGUUAGUAGUGAAGAACACUUCCUUACUUUCGCAUGAUUGGGGGUAUUAUCUUUUUGAGCGGGGAUUCAAUAGCGUGGGUUUACUAACUUACGCUUUUAUAAUGUUGUAGUGAGAUGCCGAUCACUCGCUUCCAAUCUGCCGCAGCAGAUAAUGCGGCAAACUUGGAGGAGGUCGAGACCUCCGCUACCUCCGGAUCUGGCGAGGUCCAGGAGUUGAGGAGCCAGCUUGCGGCCCUCACCGACCUAGUAACUCAGCAGGCGGAGGCAGCUCGAUAGCAGACUGAGGCGGCGCGCCGGCAGGAGGCGCGGAUAAAGAGCCUGGAGGACCUUCUUCUGCAGUAGGCGAUAGCUUCCAGGGAGACCCAGGCCCCUACACUGCCAGAACCAGUUGUGGACGUCGCGCCGAGAACGCCGUCCCCCGCGCCUAGUUUGUCGCGUGUAGCGCCCGUGGCCGCGCCUCAGAAGGAGGCUUUGGCGGCGCCACCUGUUCAAACGCCCCCGAUUGGAGCUAUUUUCCCCAUGUUGGUCGAGGAAGCGGAGCGGGACCGACUGAUGGAGCGCCUCAACGAGUUCAGGAGGUGCGGUCUCCGGAUCUUCGACGGCGAGAAGGUCGACUACUGGAUCGUUGAAAAGUAGUUGAUGCAUAUGGAGAAGCUCUUCCGCGACACCUUCGUGGAGGAGAGAGAUCGAGUUUGGCUCGCCACACACCAUUUGGACGGCGAGGGCUACCGCUGGUGGUUGGAUCUCCAGGAGAACCCCAGCACUGAUUUGGCGGCUAUCUCGUGGAAAAAGUUCAAGGAGCUUCUGUUGGCGCACUACUUCCCGACCAGGGUCAAGAGGAAGAUGGAGCAAGACUUGCGCAACUUGCGCCAGGGAGACAGGACAGUAGCCGAGUACGAGCGGGAGUUUUCUCGGCUUCUACACUACGUGCCUUUCGUCGUGUGGGACGACGAGGACAAGGCCCGCAUCUUCGAGCGAGGGUUGCGACCGUCGAUCUUCCGGUUUGUGCAAUUCUCUAACCUCCAAACCUACCGAGAGGUGGUGGAUCGCGCGCUCAUCUUGAAGAGCGGCGCGGCUGAUGUCCAGGAGCGGCGAGAGGCUAUGGACAAGGGUAAGGCCAAGAGGCCUACGGCUGAGGGUGCGAGCCAGACGCACUCUAGGAGGCCGCCGAAGCACCCUAGGAGCCAGCAGUGUGGGCGCCGCUCGGCAGCGCCACGAGGAGGACCUGAUCGACGCCGACCCCCCCAGUGUGUGAUCUGCGGUGGUCCUCACAUUCCACCGCAGUGUCCGCGGCCGGAAGGCAGGUGCUUCCAGUGUGGCCAGGAGGGCCACUUCCGGACUGAGUGCCCGAGGGGUUCGUCACCGGCACCUGAAAGUUUUGGGGUAAUCCAAGGAUCUAUCUAGAUUGUAUCCAACACCUAGAGGGGGGGAAAUAGGUGUAACGGUCAAAAACCACAAAUCUCAAUGCAAUAAAAGUAAAUGAGGAAAAUAAAAAUCGCACCGAGAUUUACGUGGAAAACUCCAAUUAGGAGUAAAAAACCACGGGACCAACACGCGAUAACAAUCCACUAAGAAUAAAAGAUUACAAGGUGAUUUACCAAAUCCACGGACUCAAACCUCUCUUUUAUCUUCUCCGGAUCUCGCGCACACCAAUGGCUUGUCCACGCCCCACGUCCGAAUCCACGAAACGUCCCACUUAGAAUUGCCACGAAGCGCCUUGAUCAACGCGCGAAUCCACGACGCGGCCCACGGUCGAAUCCACAACGACACUCCGUCCGGAGCAAGAAUACCAAGAUUGACGAUGAUUAUUGCUUAGACAAUCAUUAAAGAACCAUAGAAGAUGUUUGCUAAGCAAUGCCUGAUCAAUUCUCCAUGAAGAACAAGAAAUUAGGGUUCAAGAAUUGAUUCUAAUAGAAACUUGUUGUUUAAGAGGAGAAAAGAUAUGCACCCAACAUUUCUAGGGUUUCAAAACAAUAUUCUAUAUCUUCAUUCUCUUUUAGAAACACCCCUAAAUCUUAUUUAUAGGUUUAGAAGACUUUGAAACAGACUAGGAUUGCAAAAACUCAUAUUUAAAAACUGACGUCAUUCUCAGGUCCGGUCCUCCCGAGGAGACCGGUCCUUGGAGAGGUCCUCCAAGUGAAAAUCGGUCCUUCGCUGCGUAGCUUGAGAAAACAUGCGUACGGGGACCGUUCUCAAGAUAAGGCCAAAGAGGCCUACGGCUGAGGUGGCGAGCCAGACGCACUCUAGGAGGCCGCCAAGCACCCUAGGAGCAAGCAGUGCUGGCGCGGCUCGGCACACCACGAGGACGCAUGAUCGACGCGACCCCCCAAUGUGUGAUCUGCGGUGGCCUCACAUUCCACGCAGUGUCCGCGCGGGAAGGCAGGUGCUUCCAAUGUGGCGAUGAGAGGGCCACUUCAGGACUGAGUGCCCGAGGGGUUCGUGCACGCAGCCUGAAAGUUUUGGGGUAACCAAGAAUCUAUCUAAUUGUAUCCAACACCUAGAGGGGGGGAAUAGGUGUAACGGUCAAAACCACAAUUCUCAAUGCAAUAAAAGUAAAAUGAGGAAAUAAAAAAUCACACCGAGAUUUACGUGGAAAAUCCAAUUAGGAGUAAAAAACCACGGACAACACGCGAUAACAAUCCACUAAGAAUAAAAAGAUUACAAGGUGGAUUUAACCAAUCCACGGACUCAAACUUCUCUUUUAUCUUCUCCGGAUCUCGCGCACAGCCAAUGGCUUGUCCAUCCGCCACGUCCGAAUCACGAACGCGGACGUCCCAGAAUCCAUGAAAGUCCACACUUCGAAUCCACGAAGCCUUAUCACGCCGAAUCCAACGCGCCCACUCGAAUCCACCAAGCACACUCCGUCUGGAGCAGGAAUACCAAGAUUGACGAUGAUUUAUUGCGUUAGACAAUCAUUAAAGAACCAUAGAAGAUUUGCUAAGCAAUACCGGAUCAAUUCUCCAUGAAGAGACAAGAAAUUAGGGUUUCAAGAAUUGAUCCAAUAGAAACUUGUUGUUUAAGAGGAGAAAGAAUGCACCCAACAAGUUCUAGGUUUCAAACAAUAUUCUAAUAUCUUCAUUCUCUUUUAAAAACACGCCUACAUCUUAUUUUAUAGGUUUUAGAAAGACUUUGAAACAGACUAGGAUUGCAAAAACCCAAUUUUAAAAAACUGACGUCGUUCUCAGGGUCCGGUCCUCCGAGAGACGGUCCUUGGGGACGCGGUCCUCCAAGUUGAAAGAUCCGUCCUCGCUGCGUAGCUGAGAAACAUCGUAGCGGGGACUCGGUUCUCAGUAAGCGGGAAGAGGCUACGCGAGGGUGCGGAGGCCAAGAGGGAGGCUGCUGAGGGGGAGCAGGGGCCGCCGAAGCACCCUGGGAGCCAGCAGUGUGGGCGCGGCUCGGCAGCACCACGAGAGACCUGAUCGACGCCGACCCCAAUGUGUGAUCUGGCGUGCGUGGUCCUCACAUUCCACCGCAGUGUCCGCGGCGGAAGGACGAGGUGCUUCCAAUUGUGCCAGGAGGGCCACUUCCGGCUGAAGUGGGCCAGAGGUUCGUCACCGCGCACUGAAAGUUUUGGGGUAACCCAAGGAUUAUCUAAAUUGUAUCCAACACCAAGAGGGGGGGAAAUAGGGUAAGACGGUGCAAAAACCACAAGUCUCAAUGCAAUAAAAGUAAAUGAGGAAAAUAAAAAAUCAAGCCGAGAUUUACGUGAAAAACUCAAUUAGGAGUAAAAAACGCACGGACCACACGCGAUAACAAUCCACUAAGAAUAAAAGAUUACAAGGGUGAUUUACCAAAUCCACGGACUUCAAACCUCUCUUUUAUCUUCUCGGAUCUCGCGCACACCAAUGGCUUGUCCACGCCCCACGUCCGAAUCCACGAACGCACGUCCUGAAUCAAACGAAACGUCCAACAUUCGGAAUCCACGAAGCCUUGAUCACGCCGAAUCCAUGACGCCCACUCGAAUCCACAAACACACUCCGUCCGGAGCAAGAAAUACCCAAGAUUGACGAUGAUUUAUUGCUUAGACAAUCAUUAAAAGAACUAUAGAAGAUGUUGCUAAGGCAAUAGCCGGAUCAAUUCUCCAUGAAGAACAAGAAAUUAGGGUUUCAAGAAUUGAAUCCAAUAGAAACUUGUUGUUAAGAGGAGAAAGAAUGCACGCCAACAAGUUUCUAAGUUUCAAAACAAUAUUACUAUCUUCAAUUCUCUUUUAGAAACACCCCUACAUCUUAUUUAUAGGUUUAGAAGACUUUGAAACAGACUAGGAUUGCAAAAAUCAAUUUUAAAAACUGACGUCGUUCUCAGGUCCGGUCCUCCGAGAGACCGUCCUUGGGACCGGUCUUCCAAGUGAAACCGGUCCUCUCGCUGCGUAGCUGAGAAACAUGCGUACGGGGACCGUGUUCUCAAUUCAGAGACCGGUCCCUCUUGCGCAACAAGAUAAACCACUUACGGGAACCGGUCCUCAGACCAGAGACCGGUCUCCCAAAAACUUCUAUGCAGAGAAGCUUGAUGGGCCCGGUCCUUCUGAUCAAGGACCGGUCCCUGAGCCCUGAGAUUUUUAGAAAAGUCCAGUUUGAUCAACAAAACACAAUCUAAGCCUUCUAAACACUUUUAAACAUUUAUAAAUCAUCAUCAAUGGUAUUUAAACUACGAGCAUUGUGCAUUCAUGUUUUGAGUCUUCGAGUCUUCGAUCUUGUAAUACACUGAAUUUUUGCAAAUUGCGAAAUUCGAGUGUGAGGAAUGAUAUAUGGAACUAUUCUACAUGUUCUAAAAGUUAGAACAAGUUUUUGGAUAAGUUAGAGGAUGAUUGGAAUGCUAAAAGUGAGAAAGUGCUUUGAACUGGUGAAAAUCAGCAUUUUCUGCUUGUUGUACUGGUACAGCCUUACCUUGUACCGGUACAAGCUGGCAGAUUCGUGGCAGCAAGGCUAGUUUGGUAAUUUCACACUUGAUCCCUACCUAUUUGAUCCCAGGCACGACUCUGGGAGCUCAGUAAAGUGUGCUGGAGCUCAGGAGUGUUUUUCUUCCGCCUUCUUCUCUCUCUCUCUCUAGGUUUUCUCUCUCUACAAAAUUCGCCGAUUUCGCUCGUUUUCGUCGCAACGUUGUUUCCGCUGUUUGCGCGUCUUCCUGAGCCCUUGUGGACGUGUGAGGGAGUGUUUUGGACGGGUUUCGCAGCCCUGGAUCAGCAGGUCACUGGUUGGAAGCUUGAGAAGGUAAUCGACUCACUUUUGCUGUUAUCGACGUUCUAUUCGUCGAUUUGAGUAGCAAUUUCGGUUUUUGCUUCUUUGCUGUGUUAGGCUGAGGUUUCAGCAAUUAAAUAUGAGUUAUUUAGCUGUGAAUGAACCUCCUUAGACCAGGGAUAAGCUACUUUCAAGCUUAUUAGAAAUGUUUGCUAUUUAUGAAGCUAUUUCGGACUUUACGCGAGUUAUCCGAUCAAAUGAUGCAGUUUGGAAAUUGCUUCUUUCGCAGCAGGUCUUCGAGCUUCGUUGAGCUGAACGUGUACCUUUUGAGCUGUUAGAAGGUGUUCUAACCUAAGGUAAGCAAGAAUUUCAGUUAGGAAGCUGAAAUUGCAAGAUUCCGAUUAAAGUUGCUAUUUAUAUGAAAUUUGAUGCCAUUUCAAUUUGUUCGGCAGCGAGAGUGCGAUCGAGCCUGGAUCAUCAUUAGUUUUGACUGUGAAGAGCUCUUGGAGACUUAUCUUGAGGUAUUACACGAGUCCAAAACAGGGAAUUAAACUUCUACUUGCUUUAAGUGCAAAUGGAACCGAAAUUGGACAUUUCGGUUAUAGUAUUGACUCACUUCUGUACCUUAUUUCCAACACAUUGGGCUUCGUUGAGCCGAUUUUGGAUUUCUUUUGGAGCUUAGUACGAGGUGGGUUUGAGACCUAACCAGAGCAAGUGAAGCUCCCCUAUGUUCUAUAUGUAUGGAAUUUGAGAUAGUUGCGGCGACAUUGGCACAAUAUGGUUGUUGGAACUUCUUUGCACAAACAUUGAAUAGAACCUCUAUGAAGUAGAGAGAAUUCAUGCAUAAUUGUACUUAGGUUUUAUUUUAGUUUAAGUUGAAUAACUAAUGGACUUGAUAAUUAUGCUGUUGUAAAGUAGAGAACAAUGAUAUUCUCGUGACUUUAUCGAUUAAUAAGUAUGAGAACAAUGACAUGCCAUAUGACUAUGUUGAUAGUGCCAUGAUAGUAGAAAGACUCUAAUGCCAUAUAUGAACUAGCAUUACUCUUACAUGUUUGUUAUCUAGUGGAUACUAGUCGUUAUCAAUAUUGGCUAUAUGAAAUCCCGAUCAAAGGAUCGAGAGCAAGAAUAUUGUGAGUAAUUGUAAUAGCCGAGACAUGUUGGACUUUGCUUGCUUGCCAUCGUGCUCAUUCGCAAUGCUUGUGAGGGUCGCUCCCUGCAAGCCGGCACUCCGGAGUUGCCCUACGCGACAGUUGCUCGCCCGUGCGGGAUUGGGUGCCGAAUGUGGAUUGCCGUGGGGAGUGUAUACUACCACGGGGCCAUUAGGCGCAGCGCAAACUUGGACUACCUUUGGUAGUUCCUGUGAAUAAUAGGACAGUAAUGAAUGCUUAUUAAUUGAAGUGUACAGUAGUCACUUACAUGUUCGUGCUUAUAUUCAUAUCUAUAUUCAUGAUUAUAGAGAUUGCCAUAUCCCUAUUAUGCAAAUGAUUCAUUACUGUAGAAAGCUAUUACAUGUUAUUACAUGUUGUUUACAUGCAUAUUAAUUGCUUAGCAAUGGAAAGGUAUGCUCACUAUCUGUUAGCAUUGCAUACUUAUAUAUCAUGCAGUUACUGCUCUUCUUUAUUUCAGUACAUCAUGAGCCUAGUGGUGUAAUUCGCCGAGGCUGGCGGCUUACCCACUGGGAACUAUUGUUUAUAGUUCUCACGCCCUUUUGGUGGUUGUUUUUAUAGAGCCAUCCGCAGGAGAGGCUAGGGAUCGUGGCAAGGGAGUCGCGUCUAGCUAGACUUUGCUAGGAGCAUGCUAGUCGAUCACCUUGCUACUCGGGCUACGGCCGAGGGUGAUGUCCCUUUGUAUAGAGAAACCACCAUUGUACCUAUUUUUGUAUACCCGUGAUGUAUAUUUACUGUUGUGAUACUUGCUCUUUAGUCGAGAUUUUGAGUUGGUACACUCUUUGUUCUUUUGUUGAUGUAUAUCGACUUGUACAUUGCUCUGAUAUCGGGAUAGGACUCUCUUUGUUUUACUUCCUAUCGAUUUGCUUUCUUCGUAGACGCCUUAUAUACUGCAGGUGUAUGGCGGGUCUGUGCACGUGCCGGAUAUGCUUCCGCUGGUACCCGGGCGUGACAGAUCUUCAUCUCUUCUUCUUCAAACUUUCAAGACUCCGACUAACUUCACGAAAUAUGCCAACAUAAAAUCCGUAACAGCACCGUCACCGGCUCUACCAGCCGCUAGCCACGGGACUCCGUCAACACAGUACCAGCCUGGGCGGCCACCCAUCCAGUGCCAGAGCAAGGGUUCUCGACAGGCCCUGAGUAGGCGUAUGUAUGCCGCUCAGACCGAGGAGGCAGCAGCAGCCGAGGAUGUGGUUGCAGGUAUCAUUUUACUUGAUGGCAUUAGAGUUCGUGCUUUAUUUGAUACCAGUGCAUCGCAUUCAUUUAUAGAUCGGCUGUUUGCCGAGUUGCAUGGCAUCCCUUUGGUUUCUUUGUUGCAUCCGGGACAUGUUGUAGUACCCGACCACACUCUGGAUAUUAGAGAGUGUUGCCCUAGUUGCCCUGUUCGGGUAGGAGAUUGGAUCAUGCCCGUGGAUUUGUUAGCUCUGCGCAAGCUAGGGGACUUCGAUGUGGUCUUAGGCAUGGAUUGGUUAACCAAAUAUUAUGCCACGAUAGAUUGCAAGAAUCGCACGGUUAUUUUUAGAGAACCGGGACAGGCUGAGAUUGUGUUUAGAGGAUGCCGGAGUUCGCUUUUUGCGAUGUCGAUCAGCUCGUCUCGAGCUAGGCAGCUGAUCAGCCGAGGAUGUGUAGCCUACUUGGCUAGUGUUGUGUUGAGGGCCGAGGAUGACACCCCCAGGAUUGAGGAUAUUUCGGUGGUACGGGAGUUUCAAGACGUGUUCCCAGUGAGCUACUGGGUAUGCCACCCGAUAGGGAGAUCGAGUUUGUGGUAGAUCUCGUUCCUGGGACUACUCCAAUCUCGAAGGCACCCUAUAGGAUGGCACCGGUGGAGCUAAGGGAGCUGAGGGCACAGCUACAGGAUCUGUUGGACAAGGGCUUCAUUCGACCGAGCGUGUCACCGUGGGGAGCGCCAGUUCUGUUCGUCAAGAAGAAGGACGGAUCACUUCGCCUAUGUGUGGACUAUUGUGAACUUAAUAAAGUCACGAUCAAGAAUAAGUAUUCGUUGCCGAGGAUCGACGACUUGUUUGAUCAGCUUCAAGGAUCGUGUGUGUAUUCCAAGAUCGACUUGCAGUCGGAAUACCACCAAUUAAAGAUCAAACCUAAGGAUGUAUCGAAGACGGCUUUUAGAACACGGUAUGGACACUAUGAGUUCACAGUUAUGCCAUUCGGGCUUACUAAUGCUCCGGCAGCUUUUAUGGAUUUGAUAAACCGUAUUUUUAAGCCUUAUCUAGACAGGUUCGUUGUGGUGUUCAUCGACGACAUUUUAGUUUAUUCCUGAAGUGAUGCAGAUCAUGAGGAACAUUUGAGAAUUGUGCUCCAAGUACUUCGGGAAAAGGAUCUUUAUGCUAAGCUGAAAAAGUAUGAAUUUUGGCUUCGAGAGAUAGCUUUUUUUGGACAUUUGAUUUCAGGAUCGAGUAUAGCUGUGGAUCCUAAGAAAAUUGAAGCAAUCAAGGAUUGGCCGAGACCGACGAGCGCCACGGAGAUACGGAGCUUCCUUGGAUUGGCCGGGUACUACCGGAGAUUUGUUGAGGGGUUCGCUAAGCUAUCUACUCCCCUCAAGAGACUCACGCAUAAAGGUGUUAAGUUAAUCUGGAAUGAUGCGUGUGAGAGAAGCUUCCAAGAUGUCACGCCCCGCCCCGAAACCACUACCAAUUUGCACGGUUCGACCGCGGCGGCGGGCCGCCGAACGGACAGCACCUCCCCUGUCCGCCCAAGGUUCAACACAGGAAUGUGUACAAGAAUUUACCCAGGAAAUUAAAUUCUAAGCAUACACAUUAAAGAGGGCACAAACAGUGCCAACAAUACAGAAAGCAAGUGAUCCACAAGAUAUAACUAGUGAAAUAAAGAUAGUACUUUACUAACUAUUACAUUAGUUCCAACCUUCUCAUUUACAUCAUUAUCUUUAAAUGAUUACAUUCUUCAUCCAAAAUACAUAUCUCUCCAAAUCCUCACCUACAAUGAUCUCUCUCAAUACAUAGGUGUGCUAAUGCAAAAAGAAAAGCUACUAUACUACCACGGUCUUACUGGUCGGGCGUGACGCCCUUGUCGCGGUCCUCUCUCUGCAGCCCUGAAUCUACCACUGGAAAUAGAGUCGGGUGAGAACUAUCUUCCAUAGUUCCCAGUGGGCUCGGCCGCCGACUCUGCCGAUCUCCCCACUAGGUCCAAGUGGGCACAAUCAACAACAGAUAGAUAGAUAGAUAGAUAUGUAUCUGAAAGCUGUAAAUGAAAUAGUAGGGAAACUAUGCUACUAUGCCCAUAAUCAUGAAUAUGAAUGCAUGCAUAAUAUAAUAAAGGUUUGCUACCAUGCUAACAAAUUCGAUCUAUGUUCGAAUAGCAAUGUUCACUGACAUUAUUUAACCUUUACUCUUUCCAUUUACCCAAUCUGUGGUGAGGCCCUAGGGCUCGCCUAUAACUCACCUUUUAAUCCCAAAGUGGGGAGGGAGCUCCAAGUGCACCCAAGCCCGGGACCGUCUGCGGACCUCCAUGUGGUCCGGACCUCCAAGUGGUCCUAGUGGCGCGACACUCCAGAGUACUCGACGACCAUCCCCUCCAUGUGGGGAUUGGAUGGCUAUACCAUCCCAAACGCAGACUGUGAGCUAGAUCUAUCCUCUCCAAGUGAGGAUACACUAUCACUAGGGUCAACAACCCAAUCCAAUCCUCUCCAAGUGAGGAAGCACUAUAACUAGGGUCCGCAACCCAAUCAAAUCCUCUCCAAGUGAGGAAGCUCUAACUAGAGUCAACAUCUCUCGCGGGAUCAUUUGUUCCCGACAUUCAUGCAAUGCUAUUUAGCUUGUCUAAAUUCAUUGUUCACAAGGCAUUUUCUAAGGGAUCCACCUAUCCCUAGGUUCCCAAACCUCUAGUGUCAUAUACACUACAUUAAUGCCACUCGUCAUCUUCAAUGUUUGGAUACCACUCAUAUGUUCUUUAACAUUAACAAAACUUUCUAUGUCAUCAACACCCCCAUCGGGUUCAUCUCUACCUCUAGCAUCAUAGGAUCCACGUUCCGACCCAAUCCUCACCUAUCUAAGUUACCAAGCGUUCCAAGUACACUAGGUUAUCAUUUAGAAAGCAUAAGGAAUGGUGCUACUGUAACAUACCGAACUUCUAUAAUUAUGAAGUUAUGGUGUAUGUUAGCUUGGAAAGCCGUUAGAAUGGUUACGGUGAUGUUCGGAAGCAUUCGGUUGCUUCAAUGCGCGUAGGGCACGAAAACGGAACCCGAAAGUCUAUGUUGGAUCAUGGACUAAAUUUAGUAAGGGCAUGGAUGAAAGGAUGAUGAAAACAUGUUCGAAAACAUGUUUGGAGAGUCUCGAUUCGAUUUGAAACGAAUCGGAGGUCAAACGAGCGAAAAAACGGACCCGACGGCUGAAAAUGCUGAAAAUUUGGCUAAGUCUGGAAUGCUGAUUUUCUGGCCUUUCGGGGACCGGUCUCUCACUGCCUAGGACCGGUCCCAGCACCCGAAAAUGCCCAGUUUGGGAUGGGGCAAUGUGUUAAACAUAGAGGGUUGUGGGGGGUUAAGUGCAAAUGUGUGUGUAUGGGUUUAUAUGUUGGAGAGAUGAGGUUUAGCCCUCAUUUCUCUCCCUCCAACCCAACAUGAGAGCUCUUUCUCUCACUAGAUUUCCCUCUCUCUCUCCUUGGGAUGGCUCCAAUGGUGGAGAUUGGUGGAGAAAAGCUUGGUUGGUGAUGAAGAAACCCUCUCAUGGCAACCUAGCUUGGAUCUAAGAUAAGUAUUCUAGGAUUUGAGGGUUUUAUGGUUUUGAUGUUAGGGUUUGGUGUUUCCUUCUAGAUCUAGCUUCUAGGAGAUGUCAUGGUGAGGUUAUUCAUGGAGUUCUAUGGUCUAGGGACCUAUUUGGGAAAGAUGAUAAACCAUAGGGGUUAGAAAAUGGGGUUUUGUAAUUAUGAGGUCUAAUCUUGGGAUUGAUCUCCUUCUAACCUAAUUGGUAGGUCAACGAAUGCGAGGGAAGCGACAGUUCGUCGAUUCGUCGAGCCGGUACAAAGAUAUUGAAGAAACAAGCUAAAUUGGUACAGAUGGCCGCAGCUCGCGGCGUUGGUGUCUAAAAAUCGUGAAAAUGGAAUCGGGGCUUCUCGGCAUUCCUACAAGGUGGGGGGUGCUAUCCGGAAACACCGGAUCUCUUUCUAUGUCUAUGUCGCUUCUUUGAGCAUAUUGAUAAUGUUGUAUUCAUGCAUAUAGGUAAUGAGAUAAAUGUUGAUUGUAUCAAUUAUCUGCUUAUGAACAUUGCAAAUAUAUAUUGUAGAACCGUGAGAACGAGAAAAUGAACAACUCUAUCUAUAUGUAUGUGAAAGUGAGAAAAGACUUGAUCCAUAGUAAAUAAAGGCGACAUUGACUCUAGUGACAUGAUUGGCACCGAGAACAUAUUGUGCUAGAUAAGGUAAAACCUUAAAGCAUUGUGAAAUAUUGACUAUCCCAUUAGUGGACAUUAUGGCUUAGUAAAGUGACAUAUAUGAUUAGGUAAAGACCUAUCAUCGGUAUUGUGGUAUCAUGGUUAAAGUUGUAAAGACCAUUCUACGCAUUGUGACCAUUGUGGCUUAGUAAAGUGACAUACAUUAUUAGGUAAAGACCUAUCAUCGAUAUUGUGGCAUCAUGGUUAAAAGAAAUGACUAAACAAGAUUUAGCUUAUUGUUGCAUCAGGACCAUUGUAAUAUUGGGAAAUGGUAGUAUAUGCAUGAAUAGGUAAAGACCUUUCAUCGGCAUUGUGGCAUUGAGACAGGUUUGGCUAUACCUCCUCAAAUUGAGGAGGGGAUCAUACUCACAUGUAUUGGUUCCGGCUUGUGGGAGGUCGCUCCUCCACAGGCGGUGUACUCCGGAGUGAUGAAAACACCACGGGUCGACAUGCCUGGCGAAGAUCCUUCGGGUGGUAGUGCCUUGUGCCUCCCUCGUUAGAUGGAUAUGUGGACUGUGAGUUGGGAUAAACCAGGAGCACCCCAUGUUGAUUGGGUAAAAGCCAAAGGAAAGUGUGUGGACUGUGAGUUGGGGUAAACCAGGAGCACCCCGAGUUGACCAUAAAAAAGUGAAAAGGACAUGCAUGCAUAAUCAUCAUGUGUUUGAAUAUGAAUCUGUGAUUUGCUUUCUUGUAGGCAUUGUAUUAGAAGUGCAUUAGUUGGUUUGUUAUCCUUCCUUAUUGAAAUACAUAUGCCUGAAAUAGACCUAGUGGGCGAAUCGGCGCAGUCGGUGGCCGAACCCACUGGGAACUUCUUCUAGUUCUUAUCCCACUAACCAUGCACGUUCUAGCGCGAGCGGGGCGAUCGGGGCUCGUGGCGUGGUUAUCGUGCUCUAGGUAGUGUACUACCUUUAUGUAUAUAGAGGCACCCUUGUAUAUUUCAUCUAUUAUGUCGAUGAAUGUAAAAUGUAAAAUGUAAAUGUAAUAAAAUCAUGUGAGAGGUGAAAAUGUAUUAAGUUCAUUUGAGAGAUGAAAUUGUAAAUUGAGAUGAAUGAAUGUAAAGAAAUGUAUGAGCUUUGUAUUUGAUUGAAAAUGAUCAAGAUACAAUGUAUAAAAAUGUAAUAGUUAGAUUGCUCUCACUUAUGUUUGGUUGUUGCUUGCCCUCGUGCAAGCCGUGUAUACUUGCAUUCAUUAUGUUUGAAUUGCUAUUGUUAUACAUGUAUUGGUGGAGCCUUGGGUGGACAGGGGAGGUGCUGUCCGUUCGGCGUCUGUCAUGUGCUCGAAUCCGAUCAAAUUGGCGGAGCUCGGGGCGUGACAGCUACUAUGCAAUCCUGCAAUGCAACAUGAAGAGAUGAGAUUAAAUGCAAUCUAAAACAUAGAAAGGAGUCCGAAAGCUUCGGGAUGGCACCCCCCACCUUUAAUCGAUGUAGAGGCUUUGGAUAUUCUUCUCGGCGAGCUUUACGAAAAGGCUUUAGCCUUCCUCGCCCAAAUCAACACUAGCCCGGCCCAAUUUUGCCGAGGACUUCACGUCAGUUCGCCGAAUGGCAAAAUCGACUUCGCCCCCACGAUUUGUGACCUAACAAUAGGGUUUCCAAGGCUUCAAAUGAGAUCAAUCUCAUACUUUCACAAAAACCCCAUUUUGGAGCCCUAGGUUUGCAUCUAUAGCAAACCACCAAUAAAUCCCUAGAUUUCUUGGGAUUGAUCUAUUUAGAAGCUAGCUAGGGUUCAUUUGACCCAUUCCAAAGCAUAAAAACCCAAAACCCUAAGUUUUAUAAGCUAGGGUUUGUAGCUUACCUCUUGAGCUACACCAAUGGAGAAGAGAGAAAGAGAGGAAGAUGCUCCAAGCCUUCUCUAGCUUGUUAUCCUCCUCCUUCUUCUUCUCUUUCUUCUUCUCAUUCUCUUUUGUUCUUUCUUUUCUAGAGAGAGAGAGAGGGAGCAAGAAAGAGUGUGAAAGAGAGAGAGAAUGAGAGAGUGUGAGGGAGAGAGAGAGCUCAGCCCACUCUAAUAAAGGCCAUUUUGCAUAAAACCCCUCAACUUUCCAUCCCUUCCACAGCCCUUACUGGGCAGUUUUCGCGCGGAGGGACCGGUCUCCCCGACUUGGGACCGGUCCCCGAGAGCUUCCCUCGGGCGCACGCGUUCGGGAACCGGUCUCUCCCCAGGAGACCGGUCCUCGGGAGACCGGUCCCCACCUGAGAGACCGGUCCUCGAGAGCUUGAUUUUCUGGACUUAGCCAAUUUUUGGCAUUUCUCGCUGGGGCAACGUUCGGGAACCGGUCUCUCCUCGCCAGGGACCGGUUGCAUCAAGCAACCCCGCAACACCCAGCUGAUGGAACCGGUCUCUCACCUCCAGAGACCGGUCCCCGAGAGUAUCAGCAGCCCAAUGAUGCAGUUUGCACUAUUUACUCUCGCGGACUCAACUCCAAAGCACUUUUUGUGUUUUGGACAUUCUUAACUCCCGCAAAAAGGUAUUCUCUCGACGGUCAGUCGAUCCUGGAUGAAGUACAAUCCUCGGAUUUCGAGAAUUCACUUCCUUACAUCCUCCCCUCCUUAAAAGGAGUUUCGUCCUCAAAACUAACUCAAUUCUUUAUUUUAAUUCAAAUUCAUACCUUACUCCUCAAAUAAAUGAGGAUGGUGUCUUCUCAUCAAAUCCUCGAGUUCCCAGGUGGCUUCGCGAUCCUCGUGAUUGCUCCACCUUACCUUUACAUAGGGAAUUUCUCGAUUCCUCAAUUUUCGCACCUCUCGGGCGAUAAUCCUCACCGAAAACUCUUCGUAGCUCAAGUCUCCUUGAAGUUUUGGCGGUUCGUAUAGCAUCGCAUGCUUGGGGUCGUGGAUAUACUUGCGGAGAUUGGAGACAUGGAAUAUAUUGUGUACAUCCGCAAGCUUCGGCGGUAAAGCAAGUCGGUAGGCCACCGUGCCGACUCGCUCCAAUAUUUCAUAUGGUCCAAUGUAUCGGGGACUUAGUUUUUCCCGCACUCCAAACCGCUUCACACCUCGCAUCGGUGAAACCUUCAAGAAUACGCGGUCACCUACCGCGAACUCUAUAUCUCGACGGUGUCUAUCUGCAUAGCUUUGCUGUCUCGACUGCGCCGUGAGCAAUCUCUUGCGAGCAAGGCGGACUUUCUCCUCCGCUUCUCGCAACACAUUUGGGCCGAACUCAACACGCUCGCCUACAUCGCUCCAGUGUAUAGGAGAUCGACACGUCCGCCCAUAAAGAGCCUUGAACGGUGCCAUCUCUACACUAGCGUGAUAACUGUUGUUGUAGGCGAACUCGGCCAUCGGUAGGUGGUCACACCAACUUCCUUGUAGUCGAUGACACACGCUCGCAACAUGUCCUACAGAGUUUGAAUGGUUCUCUCUGUUUGCCCAUCUGUCUGAGGAUGAAAUGCGGUGCUAAAGUCGAGCCGUGUGCCAAGGUCUUUCUGCAGGCUCUUCCAGAAGUAUGAGGUGAACCGGGGGUCACGAUCCGACACGAUCGAUUUCGGCACCCCAUGCAGUCUCACUAUCUCGUCAAGAUAUACCUACGCUAACUUGUCACCCGACCACGUAGUGUGGAUCGGCAAAAAGUGAGCCGACUUUGUCAAUCGGUCCACAAUUACCCAAAUUGCAUCGUGGCCACCCGUUGAGCGAGGCAAGCCGACCACGAAGUCCAUCGAUAUAUCCUCCUAUUUCCAAACAGGGAUUGGUAGGCUUGGAAGCUUUUUCGCUGGAAAUCGGCGCUCGGCCUUUACUUGUUGGCAUGUUAGGCAUUUUGCCACAAAGCGUCCAAUGUCACUCUUCAUUCCCGACCACCAAUAGUGCAUCUUCAAUCCUUGAUACAUCUUGGUGCCGCCCGGGUGAUCGGCAUAUGGAGAUCGGUGUGCUUCUUGCAGAAUCAAUUCACGAAGCUCUCCAUCUUUCGGCACACACCAUCGGUUUCGAAACCGAAGCGUACCAUCGACGUCUACCUUGAAAUCGCCGCCAUGUCCUUCCUCGAUGUUUCGCCGCACCUUUUGGAGUUACGGGUCUGCGGGUUGCAGAUCUUUAAUCCUCUCCAACAAGGUCGGUUGGACAACGAGUGCCAUCAACUGAGUCGGGACCUCGAGAGCGACCACUUCAAGGUCCAAUCGCUCCAUGUCCAGCCACAGGGGUGUUUGCUGGGUAACAUCAAACGCGAGGUUCUUCGCCGACUUCCUACUUAGUGCGUCUGCGACCACAUUUGCCUUCCCGGGGUGGUAGAGGAUAUCAACAUCAUAGUCCUUUAACAGCUCCAACCACCGCCGCUGACGCAUGUUGAGCUCCUUCUGUGUAAACAGGUAUUUCAAGCUCUUGUGGUCGGUAUAAACCUCACAAUGGGCACCGUAUAAAUACUGCCUCCACAACUUCAAGGCGAAAAUCACCGCCGCUAGCUCCAAAUCAUGGAUGGGGUAGUUCUUUUCAUAGCUCUUCAGUUGACGGGAUGCAUAUGCAAUUACCUUCCCGUUCUGCAUCAAUACACACCCCAAUCCAAGGUAGAAGGCAUCACUGUAGACCACGAAGUCUUCGCCCUGCACCGGUAGAGCGAGCACCGGAGUCGAAGUCAGUCCUUGCUUCAACUCUUUGAAACUCCGGUCACAUUCUUCGCUCCAAACAAACUUGGUGCCUUUCUGGGUCAGGCGGGUAAGUGGAAUCACUAUUUUGGAAAAGCCUUCCACAAACCGCCUAUAAUAGCCCGCCAAGCCCACGAAGCUUCGAACCUCCGUGACAUUCGUCGGGCGCGGCAAGUCCCUGAUUGCCUCAACUUUCCUCGGGUCUACAGAAACUCCACCCGCGAAAAUCACAUGCCCUAAGAAGGCGACCUCGCGGAGCCAGAAGUCACACUUAUUUAGUUUAGCAUAUAGCUUCUCCUCCCGAAGGACUUGAAGCACUAAUCUCAGAUGCUCGGCAUGUUCCUCGUCACUACGAGAAUAGACCAAUAUGUCGUCUAUGAAGACCACGACAAAUCGAUCCAAAAACCUCCUGAAGACACGGUUCAUCAAAUCCACGAAUGCUGCUGGAGCAUUCGUGAGUCCAAAUGGCAUGACCGUGAAUUCGUAGUGUCCAUACCGCGUGCGAAACGCGGUCUUUUGCACAUCCUUCGGCUUGAUCUUCAAUUGGUGGUAGCCGGAUUGCAAGUCUAUCUUCGAGUACACACACGACCCUUGCAACUGAUCGAAUAAGUCAUCGAUCCGGGGUAGUGGGUACUUGUUCUUGAUAGUGACUCUGUUCAAUUCUCGAUAGUCCACGCAGAGUCGAAACGAUCCAUCCUUCUUCCGCACAAACAACACCGGGGCUCCCCACGGUGAUACACUUGGCCGGAUAAAUUGCUUGUCGAGGAGGUCUUGCAAUUGACUCCUCAACUCUUUCAAUUUCGCCGGCGCCAUUCGGUAUGGAGCCUUCGAGAUCGGCGUGGUACCGGGAACCAAGUCUAUAACGAACUCGAUCUCCCGAUCCGAUGGUAUACCGGGCAACUCCGUAGGAAACACAUCCGGGAACUCCCGCACCACCGAUAACUCCUCUAAUGUUGGAGCUACUCGCUCCACUUCUACACCGGUCGCUAAGAACGCCAUGCAACCGCUGUUGACUAACUUUCUUGCUCUCGUCGCCGACACCGUUGCGACGAAGCACGAGCUCUGACAAGCCCAGUAGGUGAAUUCUUCUUGUCCUGGCUCACGGAAGGUGAUCACCCUGCUCUUGCAGUGGAUCGUUGCGUGAUAUUUCGAGAGCCAGUCCAUACCCAGAAUGACGUCAUAAGCCUCAAGCUUUGUGAGUUCCAGUGUCCGGAUAGGCAUAAUCCAGUCGCCUAUUUGUACUGGACAUGACGCACACUCCGUGUAGGUGUUAAAAGUUGACCCAGGGCCCUCCACUCACCACUUGUCACUCGCCUCUAUAUGUAUGCCAUGCAUGCGUGCGAAUGAUCUACUUAUGAAUGAAUGUGUGGCUCCUGUAUCAAAUAAAGCCCUGGAGCGAACUCCGUUAAUCAAAACCAUACCUGCCACAAGGCGAUGCUCCUCCGCCUCCGCAGGCUCCUCAGCUUGGACCUGAGAGGCGAACACCCGUCCGCUCGGGGCCGAUCGUGUCACUUCAGGUUGACGCGGCAUCAUCAUGCGUCCGGUCGACGCGGCCGUCGGUGGGGCUCCUCCAUAGUGAGUCGGGAUCGCCGGCGCCGAUGUCGUCGAGGGGGCAGGUGAGGCUCCUCCUCCCGGGCAAUCUCGAAUAAAGUGCCCCGGCUGCCCACACUUGUAGCACUUGCCUCGGCCUUGCUCAUAGCGCGAGACCGAAUGAUCUCCACCGCAUAUCAUGCAUCGUCGCACUCCACCGCCCUUCUGUUGAGUGCGCGCAUACUUCGGGGGCUUCUUGUAACGUGUCUGUCCCCCCGAACUACCGCCACCUUGGCGUUUCUUGCCCUUGUCCUUAGACUCGGCCAAAGCCUCACGCGUCUCCCGAACGUGAGCAUCUCCGUGCUUCGCCCAUAGGGCUCGAUCAAAGACCUCCGCAAAGGUCGUGAGCUUGAGUAUUUGCAUGGCCUUGUAGAUUCCCGGCCGAAGUCCUCGCAAGAACCACUCGGCCCGGUCCCAGUCAUCCUUUACAACAUCCGGAACACAGUCGAUAAUAUAGGAGAAUUCUUGUUCAUACUCCGCCACUGAGCGGUCCCCUUGCUCUAGCUUGCGGAACUUCUCCUUGAGCUUCCGCUUCAAUGUAUCGGGGAAAUAGUUGGCGAACAUCUCCCGCUUGAAUUCCUCCCAUAACAUUGGCGGAAGGCCGGGAAGCCGAUCCCGCUUAACGCGCUUCCACCAAACCUUCGCCGCCUUCUCCAAGCAAUGGGUGGCGAGGUACACUUUAUCCCUCUCCAAAGUACGCAAGUCGUCGAAGAGGGUUUCCAGCGAGUCGAUCCAAGACUCGACCAUCUCCGGUUCCACCUUCUCGCCCUCAAAGGUUGGCGGAUGGAACUUGUUGAACUUGAUCAGAGCCGCCAAUGCGCGCUCUCCCUCCACGUCUUCGGCCGACACAUCGGGUGUAGCCGAUCCCAAUGCCGCCUGUGGUACGAUCGUUGGCGGUGGGCGUGCCGUCACCGGAGCCGCCGCUAUGCCCUCACCCUCUGCCGCUCCGGGUACAUGAGUCGAGGGUGCGGGCGGACCACCGCCUUCAUUUGCCGUCGCAGCCGCCGCCGCGAUCUGCCGCUCCAAUAGGUCCUGGAGCUGCUCGAAUCUGGUCUCCUAGCGCUGCACCACAUUGGUCAGCGCGGUCACCUGCGCUUGCAACCGAUCGAUCACGCUCGGUUCCUCCUGCUCGGGCACCUCAGGAGUCGGUGCUGGGGCAGUUCUACGCGUGUAGCGUCUUGGAGANUGACAUUAGUCCCUAAAACGCAAUUACUUGGUCAGUCAUUUUAACCAAUUACCUCGUCGCAAUUACGACACAUGACGACUCAACCACAAAUCGGGCGGAAGCACACAAGUGCACUCGUUCUAGACUCUUGGUAUCAUGUCGUCGGCCGCCGACACAACCACCUCAAGAAAAGAACUCGUACAACUUGAAUCCGUCUCUAAUCACAACUAGAGACAUAUUACCAACUUCGACCCAAUCGAAUUAACCUCCGCCAUCGCUAUAGGUUCACGUUCCGCUCACGCACCUAUAACCUUAGGGCUUACCAACCUAGGGUCUCCUAGGUCAUCCUAGACUCUCUCUUUACUUGCUCUUAUAGCUCUGAUACCAAAACGGCUGUCACGCCCCGCCUCGAAACCACUACCACUUUGGCACGGUUCGGCCGCGGCGGCGGGCCGCCGAACGGACAGCACCUCCCCUGUACACCCAAGGCUCAACAUAGGAAUGUGUACAAGAAUUUACCCAGAAAAUUAAAUUCUAAGCAUACACAUUAAAGAGGGCACAAACAGUGCCAAUAAUACAGAGAGCAAGCGAUCCACAAGAUAUAACUAGUGAAAUAAAGAGAGUACUUUACUAACUAUUCCAUUAGUUCCAACCUUCUCAUUUACAUCAUUAUCUUUAAAUGAUUACAUUCUUCAUCCAAAAUACAUAGCUCUCCAAAUCCUUACCUACAAUGAUCUUUCUCAAUACAUAGGUGUGGUAAUGUAAAAAUGAAAGCUACUAUACUACCACGGUCUCACUGGUCGGGCGCGACGCCCUUGCCGCGGUCCUCUCUCUGCAGCCCUGAACCUACCACUGGAAAUAGAGUGGGGUGAGAACUAUCUUCCAUAGUUCCCAGUGGGCUCGGCCGCCGACUCUGCCGAUCUCCCCACUAGGUCCAAGUGGGCACAAGUAACAACAGAUAGAUAGAUAGAUAUGUAUCUGAAAGCUGUAAAUGCAGUAGUAGGAAAACUAUGCUACUAUGCCCAUAAUCAUGAAUAUGAAUGCAUGCAUCAUAUAAUAAAGGUUUGCUACCAUGCUAACAAACUCGAUCCAUGUUCGAAUAGCAAUGUUCAAUGACAUUAUCAACCUUUAACCUUUCCAUUUACCCAAUCUGUGGCGAGGCCCUAGGGCUCGCCUAUAACUCACCUUUCAAUCCCAAAGUGGGGAGGGAGCUCCAAGUGCACCCAAGCCCGGGACCGUCUGCGGACCUCCAUGUGGUUCGGACCUCCAAGUGGUCCUAGUCGCGCGACACUCCGGAGUACUCGACGACCAUCCCCUCCAUGUGGGGAUUAGAUGGCUAUACCAUCCCAAACGCAGACUGUGAGCUAGAUCUAUCCUCUCCAAGUGAGGAUACACUAUCACUAGGGUCAACAACCCAAUCCAAUCCUCUCCAAGUGAGGAAGCACUAUAACUAGGGUCCGCAACCCAAUCAAAUCCUCUCCAAGUGAGGAAGCACUAACUAGAGUCAACAUCUCUCGCGAGAUCAUUUGUUCCCGACAUUCAUGCAAUGCUAUUUAGCUUGUCUAAAUUCAUUGUUCACAAGGCAUUUUCUAAGGGAUCCACCUAUCCCUAGGUUCUCAAACCUCUAGUGUCAUAUACAUUAUAUUAAUGCCACUCGUCAUCAUUUAAUGUUUGGAUGCCACUUGUAUGUUCUUUAACAUUAACAAUACUUUCUAUGUCAUCAACACCCCCAUCGGGUUCAUCUCUACCUCUAGCAUCAUAGGAUCCACGUUCCGACCCAAUCCUCACCUAUCUAAGUUACCAAGCGUUCUAAGUAUACUAGGUUAUCAUUUAGAAAGUAUAAGGAAUGGUGCUACUAUGCAAUCCUAUAAUGCAACAUGAAGAGAUGAGAUUAAAUGCAAUUUGAGACAUAGAAAGGAGUCCGAAAGCUUCGGGAUGGCACCCCCCACCUUUAUUCGAUGUAGAGGCUUUGGAUAUUCUUCUCUGCGAGCUUUACGAAAAGGCUUUAGCCUUCCUCGCCCAAAUCAACACUAGCCCGGCCCAAUUUUGCCGAGGACUUCACGUCGGUUCGCCGAAUGCCAAAAUCGACUUCGCCCCCACGAUUUGUGACCUAACAAUAGGGUUUCCAAGGCUUCAAAUGAGAUCAAUCUCAUACUUUCACAAAAACCCCAUUUUGGAGCCCUAGGUUUGCAUCUAUAGCAAACCAUCAAUAAAUCCCUAGAUUUCUUGGGAUUGAUCUAUUUAGAAGCUAGCUAGGGUUCAUUUGACCCAUUCCAAAGCAUAAAAACCCAAAACCCUAAGUUUUAUAAGCUAGGGUUUGUAGCUUACCUCUUGAGCUACACCAAUGGAGAAGAGAGAAAGAGAGGAAGAUGCUCCAAGCCUUCUCUAGCUUGUUCUCCUCCUUCUUCUUCUCUUUCUUCUUCUCCUUCUCUUUUGUUCUUUCUUUUCUAGAGAGAGAGAGAGGGAGCAAGAAAGAGUGUGAAAGAGAGAGAGAAUGAGAGAGUGUGAGGGAGAGAGAGGGCUCAGCCCACUCUAAUAAAGGUCAUUUUGCAUAAAAACCCCUCAACUUUCCAUCCCUUGCACAGCCCUUACUGGGCAGUUUUCGCGCGGAGGGACCGGUCUCCCCGACUUGGGACCGGUCCCCGAGAGCUUCCCUCGGGCGCACGCGUUUGGGAACCGGUCUCUCCCCAGGAGACCGGUCCUCGGGAGACCGGUCCCCACCUGAGAGACCGGUCCCCGAGAGCUUGAUUUUCAGGACUUAGCCAAUUUUUGGCAUUUCUCACUGGGGCAACGUUCGGGAACCGGUCUCUCCCCGUCAGGGACCGGUUGCAUCAAGCAACCCCGCAACACCCAGCUGAUGGAACUGGUCUCUCACCUCCAGAGACCGGUCCCCGAGAGUAUCAUCAGCCCAAUGAUGCAGUUUGCACCAUUUGCUCUCGCGGACUCAACUCCAAAGCACUUUUUGUGUUUUGGACAUUCUUAACUCCCGCAAAAGGGUAUUCUCUCGACGGUCAGUCGAUCCUGGAUGAAGUACAAUCCUCAGAUUUCGAUAAUUCACUUCCUUACAGACUACCGCCCCUAUCCUAACCCUGCUAGUUGCUGGAGCAGGGUAUGUGGUUUACAGUGAUGCAUCUCUUAGUGUAUUGGGCUGUGUCUUGAUGCAGGAUGGCAAGGUAAUCGUGUAUGCUUCUCGCCAACUGAAGGAAUAUGAAAAGAAUUACCCUACGCACGAUUUGGAGUUGGCGGCCGUAGUCUUCACAUUGAAGUUAUGGCGCCACUACUUGUAUGGCGAGCGGUGUGAAGUAUACACGGAUCACAAGAGCCUCAAAUACCUGUUCACUCAAAAGGAGUUGAAUUUGAGGCAACGCAGAUGGCUAGAGCUGCUCAAGGAUUAUGAUCUGACGAUUCUAUACCACCCGAGGAAGGCUAACGUGGUGGCGGAUGCGCUAAGUAGAAAAUCAAAGAAAAACUUAGCGAUGCAUAUUGUUACUCAACCACAGUUGAUCGAGCAGAUGAAGCGGUUGGAGUUGGAGGUGGUGACUCCUGAUACGCCUUUGAGAUUGAUAACUUUGGUGGUGCAACCUACACUUUUGGAUCGAAUUAAAGAAAAGCAAGCUUCUGAUGUGGAGUUGCAAAAGAAUAAAGGUAAAAUGGUUGAUGGUUGCACCGGCAAUUUCCUUGUGGAUGACCAAGGAUUGAUGCGUUUCCGUAGACGGAUUUGUGUACCGGCGGAUUCGGGAAUUAAAGAAGAUAUUCUUCAAGAAGCGCACCGAGCGCCUUAUGCUAUACAUCCGGGAGGCACCAAGAUGUAUAAGGACUUGAAGUUGCUUUAUUGGUGGCCCGGGAUGAAAAAGGACGUUGGCGAGUUUGUAGCUCGAUGUCUAACUUGCCAACAGGUGAAGGCUGAGCACCGAUUACCCGCGGGAAAGCUUCAGAGCUUACCGAUCCCCGUAUGGAAGUGGGAGAAGAUCACCAUGGAUUUCGUGACAGGAUUGCAUCACUCUCAGGCCGGGCAUGAUGCUACAUGGUUGAUCGUGGAUAGGUUGAUGAAGUCGGCGCACUUCAUACCUAUUCAUACUACUUGGACCGGAGAGAAGCUCGCACAAGUGUACCUUGAUGAGAUUGUGCGACUUCAUAGAGUGCCUACAUCGAUAGUAUCGGAUCGAGACACUUAGUUUGUGUCUCACUUUUGGAGGAGUCUACAGGAUGCCUUGGGCACCCAAUUGGACUUCAGCACUGCUUUCCACCCCUAGAGUGAUGGGCAGUCGAAGCGCACCAUUCAAACUUUAGAGAAUAUGCUCCGAGCAUGUGUGAUAGACUUCUAGGGAGGAUGGUCGCAGCAUCUACCGAUAGCAGAGUUUGCUUAUAACAACAGUUAUCAAGCAAGCAUCAAGAUGGCGCCGUUCGAAGCACUUUAUUGAUGGAAGUGUAGAUCGCCACUUCAUUGGAGUGAAAUAGGCGAGAGAUUGGCUUUAGGCCCUGAUGUGCUCCAGGAAGCUGAGAACAAGGUACGAAUCGCUCGGGAGCGACUUUUGACGGCACAGAGUAGACAGAGGAGCUACGCCGAUCGACGGCAGCGAGACUUGGAGUUCCAAGUUGGAGACUAUGUUUUCUUGAAGGUCUCGCCGACUAGAGGGAUGAAGAGAUUCGGGAUUCAGGGUAAGUUGAGCCCCCGUUUCAUUGGACCGUAUGAGAUUUUGGAACGUGUAGGUCCGGUAGUGUAUCGACUUGCUCUACCACCGAACCUAUCGGGCGUGCACAACGUCUUUCAUGUAUCGGUCCUUUGGAAGUAUGUCUUCGACCCGACUCAUGUGUUGGAUGCUAUACUUGUGGAGUUGCGGGACGACUUGAGAUUCGAGGAGCAACCCGUGAAGAUCUUGGCUCACGAGGUGAAGAAACUGCGGAAUCGGGACAUUCCGUAUGUGAAGAUGCUUUCGAGCAACCACGGGGAGCGAGAGGCCACGUGGGAGUUAGAGAGCGCGCUGCGGGAGCGCUAUCCCCAUCUUUUUCAGAUGGAGCAUUGAGGUAUGUGUUUGCUUUUGAGUUUCGCGGACAAAACUCCCUUUUAGGAGGGGUGAAUGUAACACACUGGACCUGUGCAAAUUGCGAGGUUCGAGUGUUUGAUAUAGAUUUCGAACUUUUCCACACUUGGUGGAAGGUCGUAGAUGGUACUCCGACCUAAAAGUUCGAAUUCUAGAGUUUUGGCAAUGUCCUGAGAGUUUUCACUCUCGGGGACCGGUCCCUGAUAGGAGACACCGGUCCCCUCAGAACAGUGUUGCGGCAGCCUGCGAGGCAAUCGGUCCCUGGCGGAUGAGACCUGUCCCCGAGCGCGACCACGCGGGGAGAGACCGGUCCCAUGCGGGGAGAGACCGAUUCCCGAACGUUGGAUUUUCGGAGCAUGCUGAGAGACCGGUCCCAGGUCGGGGAGACCGGUCCCUCAGUCCAAAAACUGCCCAGACCGGGCAGUGCAUAGUGUUGAUUGUUGAGGGACCUACGUGGAUUUUGUUACUUGGGAUGGCUUAUAUGGUCUUUUCUCUUCCUCACACUCUCAUUUCUCUCCUUCACACUCACACUAGAGAGAGAAAGAGAAGGAGAAGAAGAAGAAGGAGAGGGAAAGAGCUUGCUUGAAGGCCUUGGAGCAUCAUCUUCUUCCUCUUAUCACACCUUGGAGGCUUGGAGCUCGUGGUUGAAGCUUUGUGGAGGAUCAAACUUCAACCCUUCUUGGUUUAGAGCUUGGUUUGGAGCUUCUCUUGAGGUUGGUAACUUGUCUUCCCCAUUUAAUACAAGUUUUCUAGAUUUUGCUAGAUGAAACCCUAGUUUUGAGAUUUAGGGUUUAUUUUGAGGGUUUUUGAUUUGGGGGCUUUGAAACCUAAUUGAUGGGUUUAGAACCUUUAUUUAGGUUGGAUUUGAAGAACUCUAACUCCCAUUUGGAGCUUGAGAGAGGAUUUCUUCACUUGAGGUGAGUUUCUCCACCUUAGCUUGAGGUGAUUAAUGAUUGAGCUUAGUUUUGUUCGUAAGGUUCGUUUAACCUUUGUUCCUACAUCUUUAGGGUGCUAGGGGACUAGCAGACACAUUUGUCGGAGCAAACGAAGGAUCGCUAGAGUUGUGGGGUUUGGCUUCAUGAAAACGGGGCAAAGUGGCCCCUAUGCUUUUUAUACUUGUCGUAACGUCCUUUUGAAUGCAAAUCUGUGCUAUAUAGAAUUUAUGGGAAAUUUAGAACACUUAAAAUGCAUGCCUUAUGUAUUAUGAAAAUUUCACUUUAUAUAGUAGGGCAUUCUGGGCAUUUUUGCAUGCAUAUGAGAAGUGUUCGUGUUAGCGACUUGAAAACAUAUCUCUUAUGUUAGAAUUUGCUCAAAUUAUGCAUUUGUAAACAAUAAACUCAUGUUUGGACUUAGUGGGCAAAAAUGCCAUAAAGAGGCAUUUGACAUAGUAAACUGUGAAACUGCAACAUAGAGACAUAGUGAUAGGCUAUUGAACAUUGCUAUAUUCCAUGUUAGAGACAUGAUGACAUAGAGAUAGGCCUUUGAGACAUUCGACGUAUAUGCCAUGUUUUUAGACAUGAGAACUUGGUACUUGAGACAGAUUUUUCGCUUGCUUGCCAUUGUUCUCAUUCGCACAUGAUUGUGAGGGUUGCUCCCUACAAGCCGGCACUCCGGAGAUAGCCAUAUCGACAUAUGCUCGCUCGUGCGGGAUUGGGCGCCAAAAUGGGAUGCCGUGGGGGAGGCUCAUUCCUAGAGUGGGGAUGUUGACUACCACGGGGCCGUUAGGCACGGCGCAGGCCGGACUACCCACGGGUAGGUCCUAUAGGAUUAGAUCAUUGAUGACUUAACAUACCGACUGGACAUUGACUAGAAUAGUAAACAAGACAUUUUUCUAUUUAGCUUGUGGACAUCAUGCUAGUGAUACUUUGGUACAUUCAUGUUAGAAUAGUCUUUUAUUACUUAUGCAAAUUCAUGCUAAGUAGAGAUAUCAUGUUGUAGUAAGUUUACAUGUUUACUUACAUAUCGAUUCUAUUGCUUUUAUUGUUACUUAUCUGUUUAGCUCUUUUGGGCCUAGUGGUGCUUUCACUGAAGUCAAUAAUUGCCCACUGGGAACUAUUAUUUAAUAGUUCUCACGCCCCCUGUUUUAUGGUUUUUCUUUCAGAGCCCUCUGCACUGGCAGAGGCACGGGAUCACGGCAUGGGGAUCGCUAGCUAGAUAGCGAGGAUUUACUGUUACUUAGGUGGUUUUCUCGCUUUUUUUUGUUGUUGAGAGAGAGAGAGAGUGGGGUUUUGUAUCCAUAUAUAGAGACCACCUAUGUAUUUACUUAUAGCACUUGUUUUGGGAUUUCUAUUGUACUACCUUUGAUUUACUUAUGGUGGAUGUUAGCUCCUUUACUUGUUUUCUCUUAUAGAAUCUAGAUACUGUACUAUGCUCUGAUACUCCUAGAUGUCUUUUAUUAUUGCUUUAUUUACCGUUGUUUCUAGACGCCUUAUAUGUUUUAAACGUAUGGCGGGUCUGGACAAGUGCCGGGCGGGCUUCCGCUGGGUCCCGGGGCAUGACAGGGGACGACACCCUAGGCGCGACCACCUCUACUGGUGCGGGUGGUGUAGGGAUCUGAGUCUCCCUGGCAGCCGCCUGCUAUAGCAAAAGGUCCUCCAGGCGCUUCAUCCGCGCUUCCCGCCGAAGCGCCGUAUCCGCCUGUCGCGUCACCAAAUCAGUGAGGGCUGCAAGCUGGCCCCUCAACUUACAGACCUCGCCGGAUCCGAAGGUAGUGGAGGUCUCGACCUUCUCAAUAUGUGCCGCAUUAUCCGCUCCAGCAGAUUGAGAGCGUGUAAUCGGUAUCGUCACUACAACAUCAUAAAAGCGUAAGUUAGUUAACCCACGCUGUCGAAUCCCGGCUCAAAUAAACAAUAUCCAAAUCAUGCGAAAGUAAGGAAGUGUUAUCCACAACUAACUCUCGAUGUUACGUUGUCAGCCGCCAACGUAACCCUCUGCGAAGUUAGAAGCCAUACACUCUGAUCCAACUCCAAUUUUUAGAGUUAUCAUGAAACCCAAUCAUAAUACUUUCGCUUACAAAUUGAAUAGAUCUCGUCUCUCAUGAGCCUAUUUCCUAUAGUCCAACCGGCCUAAGGUUUGCUAGGUCCACUAAGACUCAACCCUAGGCUCUGAUACCAAAUUAAUCUGUCACGCCCCGGAACCAGCGGAGGCUCUCCCGGGAGCGUGCCCAGACCCGCCAUAUGUCAACACAUAUAAGGCGUCUACGACAACAGCGGAAAAUAAAGCCAAAAAUAAUCUACAACUAGAGAUAUCAGAGCAAGAAUAAAUCUAUCAUCUAUAACAAGGUGGAAGAAAAUACUAAACAAUAAAGGUGAAUCAUAAAGCUAUGCAAUAACCAUCUCCAAAAUGGUACACAAAAAGGUGGUCUCUAUACAUGAAUACAACUCUCAACCUCUCCAAAAAGAAAACAACGAGAGGUAGACAACCUAUCAACGCGUCCCUCGAUAGCAAGCUAGCUCGAGGCAAAUCCCUUUCCGCGGUCCCUAGCCUCUCCCGGAGUGGAAGGCUCUGAAAUAAAGACAUAAAACAGAGGGCAUGAGAACUAUAAUUUAUAGUUUCCAGUGGGCAAUUACUGACCUCAGUUCAAUGCACCACUAGGCCCCAAAAGAAAAUGGUAAGUACGGAAACGACGGUAAUAAUAAUAAUAAACUGUAAGUGUAAGAGCAAGUAAUGUUUGCUAAAUUUACUAUGCCAUAAACCAUAAGAUGUCAAUGUAUUGUGCACGUAUUAUAUCAAGUUGUAGUAUAUCCAAUGCAUGACUACUAUGUCCCAACGUGGCAAGAACGUAGAUAACAUGAUCCAUUCUAUCAAUAUAUGAUGAUUAUGCUCUAUCAAGGCAACCAAGUAUACUAUGAUGCAACAGGUAAAUUAUCAAGUAUACUAUAUGUCUCAACACUAUGCUAUAAGCAUGUCAAAGUAAUCCAACUACUAAUCCUAUCUAGUAGUGAUUGUCAUUUCUCGGUUCAAUGUCAUUAUUUAAUCAUAUUCUAGGACCUACAUAAAUGUAGUUCAGCUUGUGCCACCUAAGUGUUGGUGGUAGCUCCAGCAUUCCCACUCUAGGAAUGAGUCUAUCCCUUCCGACCCCGUAGGUUUCUCGAUACCGCACGAGCGAGCAUAAGUCGUGUAGGCCAACUCCGAAGUGCCAGCUUGUAGGGAGCAACCCUCACAAGCAUGUGCGAAUAAGCACAAAUGGCAAGCAAGCGUAGUCGACGUCUCAAAAGUCCAAUCAUCAUGUCUCUAACAUGGUAAAAGUCACUAGCAUCAUAAAGAUCUAGUUCAAUGUCUCAAGAUGAUGUUCCAACACUCACUAUGCUUAGUGCCUCUUUAUGACACUUAAGCUUGUUAUAAGUUAAACAUAUUUCAUUUUCUAUGUUCCAUUCAUGACAUUAGCACUAGGUUCUCAUUUAACCCGAGCUCAAUGCCCCUUUAUGAUAUUAGCCCAAUCAUUCUCAAGUAGUACAAGUCCCCAAGCCUCUUAAGGCUUACUAAAGUCCCUUAUGUCUCAAUUAGGUUUAAAUUUAAAUGCAUGAAGCAAUGCUCAAUUUCAUUGUAAGAAACAUAGUCCCGAGUCCAACAUAAGAAUGCCCAAUGCUAGUGCAAGCUUCACAUGCAACUCUCUCUCUACUAUAUAGAGGUCCGAAAAUUCAUUAUACAUGACAUAGGGAUGUUAAGCAUUCUAAAAUUCACAAUAAAUACAUUUAACAUGAAAAUGCAUGAAUUUUCACUUUACGAAACAUAAAUCACCAAAUAUGAAAAUUUCUCAUAUUGUAGGCUAGGUCAAACCAAGGUUUUAAGUGCCGAGGCGUGCCAUACGGCAUGCCCCGUGCCGUACCGUGCCCCCAAGAAAGGGGCACGGUACAGGGGGGGUAUCGCACCCCCCCGCGUGCCGCAGGCACGUACCGGCAUGCCGCCGGGUUUUUUUUUUUUUGACUUGUUGGCUUCUUUUUUUUUUUUGUUCUCUGGGAUACAACCCCCAGGCCAUCUAUAUUGUAUUUUUUUCACUUUUAUCUUAUUUUUUUGACAUCGUGAUGCCUUUUUGUCAACUUUUUUUUUUUUUUUUGCCUUUUGGCUUUUUUUUUGGUUUUUCUUUUAUUAAAUUAAAAACUUAUAAUUUAACUUAUUAUUUAUCUGAUCCAUAUGUCGGCCCGAGCCCUCCGCUUCCACCACUGACAUCCAUUUUUUCUUCACAAAAUAUUUUAUCAAAAUUUGUCGCACCGCGAAACUUUCGAUGAAUCAAAGAAACAAAAAUCGAUUUCCUAAACAAAUUUUGAUCAGAUAUUUUUAAUAAGAACAAAAAAAUAAAAAAUAUAGAUGUAAUAUUGGGAAUAUAUGAAUUUCUCAGAAUGCCAGCAAUACUUGUAUCAAUAUUGUCAAAUAAAUCUUGUAUCCGCAGAUAACAAUAUGACAUAUGAUCCAGCGCGACGAUCUAUGUGAAAUUAAGCAGUCAUCUCUAUGUAAAGAUGUAAAUUUAAAUAAUUAUUGUACUGUGAAUUUUAUUAUUAUAUUUUAAUUUCUAUUCUAUAUCAGGUAUA
Molecule: long non-coding RNA, 76465 nt
Filed under: Ananas comosus (pineapple)
Lineage: Eukaryota; Viridiplantae; Streptophyta; Magnoliopsida; Poales; Bromeliaceae
Description: long non-coding RNA (ACOM_LNC016696)
Source: RNAcentral